GAAAAUGCUAACGAUCAGCGUGAAAAAUCAAGCUGGACUGUCCAGACAGCCUCAUCCUACACCUGACAUUGCUUCUUGGUGUUGACUAAAAUCUUACGGUUGUAAUAGAAGCGAGGCUAUUGUGGAAAAAUUUCCAAAAAAUAAUUAAAAUUUUGAAAUUCAAAAACCUAUCCACAAAUUUUAUAUUAUAUCCUUCUCUCCACUAUUAAUCAUUAUCACAAAAAUAUUUCUCUCUCUAAUUUUCUCUUCCCUCUCAUCUCUCUCUUUUAUCUCGAGAUUCUCAACACCAUAACCUCCUCUCCCACCUCAUUCAUCCCUCAUCGGCCACCACUGCCCAAGCGGCCAACAUUGCUGUCUUCACGGUGGUGGAUCUCAAGAUGGCGAUGAUACCAACAUUUGAAUCUAUUCUUUCCCAUGGUGGCAGAUCUCAAUUGUUCGAUAGGUUGUUUUCGAAUAGAUCAAUGUUGCGAUUAGAUAUGAUUCCAUCUCCCUAGCCAGCCGCCGAGUCGAACUCAGGUUUGUGUUGAUUUAUGCUUUUGUACCAGAUUUGUUUAUAAAGUUUGUGAUGUAGAAGCCGAAUGAGAGUUUGUUUUAUUUUAUACUCUUUAUUUGUGAGUUCUAGGCUUUUUUGUUUCAGUCUGGAGGUGGUGGAGGGCAUUUAGUGAUGGCGACAACGAUGGUAGCCUUUUCGAUAUUUUAUUCUCUAGUGCUUGCGUUUUGGAAAUUGAUUCGUGUCAUUAUGUCAUGUAAUGUAUACUUUUAAUCUGUAAAAUAAUGGUCGACAAUGGUAGUAUAUUUCCUUUUGUUUGCUGGAUGGGUGCUCUACACAUACUAUUUGUUUCUGGCUUAUUAUGGGAAGAGGGAAUGUAUUUUUACUUAACCUCGAUUGCUGGAUUAUGGUUGGACUCAUAAAAUCAUCCCAUCUUCGACAUAAUAGCUGCAUGACAGACUCGGUGACAUAACAGUAGGAUAGUACAUUAGUUCGUUCGUGAUAGUGGCAUAACCUACUUAUCUUAGGUGUCACAGGUUCAAAAAUAAUAGAGAUAUUAUGUUUGAUUGACUUUCUUAUUUAUUAGGUCGAUUACAUUAAUGUUGGUAUACAAAUUAGUGGGUUUUUUCACAGAUUUCCCAUAGGAUCUUUGAUGGUUUUACCUCCUACUUCGACGGGUCCCUGGGGGAGUAGCUGGAGGACGCGCCACAUGAUUACUACGAUCGGAUGGAGGGGAUGCGCCACCAGUUUGCAAACCACUACAUGGACUACCACCGCCAGAGAUGAGGUCGUCAUGAUUAGAGACUUCGUUUUAUAGACCUCUACUUUAUUGGUAUCAGACUUUGUAUUAGAGACUCAUUUGUCUUUCUUGUUAUUGUUAUGCAAUCUGCUCGGUUAUUUCAGUUUAAUGGUAUGUCAGACUUCAGAUGUGCUAUUACAUCUUCAAAUAGCACUAAAUGUGUUACCAUUCAAUCAACCUCAUAAUUAACCUCGAAAAAAUUGAAAAAAAAACCUAAGGGGCUGGCACAACACCCGUUUCGGCCAGCACUAGUGCCCGGCCGGCCACUUGUUUUGGCUGGCUACACGCAAUCCGCGAGGGAUGUACUGCCCAAACUAUCUAACUGUAGAAGGAAAAAAUAUUUGGGUUAGAUCUUUACAGUAAAUGGAGGUCAACUGAAACUUGACGAUUGCUUAACAAACCUCUAGGGGGAAGUGUCUUUGUAGGAGUCGAGCUAGUAUCCAAAUGUGUAUCCUUCAAAGGUGUUUAUCGAGUCGAGCUAGUUUUACUCUUUGGAGGAGUGCACUGUGUACUGGCAUGUUCAUGCCAAGAAGGAUUCUGGCCGUCUGCCUUUCUGGCACGAGGUCUAGCUUUAGAAGCAUCAUCAACCUUAGGCUCUUUGAAGCCCUCAAACUCGAGCUGGAAUUACGACCGAACUAAUCUACUAAGCGCUUGAACGGACGGAGCCCCUCUAUCACAAAUCGUCUGAACCAUCACACUUAGGAUGUUACUGUCUGUAUCAUCAUGAUCGUCAAAGAUCUCAUGGCCUAGUGGGUCUGUGUCUUCAAUGAAUGCUAAAACUGAUAGAAGUGGUAUGGUUUCAUCUCCUUCUCGCGUUCCACCAUUGAGUACAUAACACAUGUGCAUGGGAUUCCAUGGGUUGUCUCAACUACACAUUUGCAUGGUGUAAAAUUUGAGGGCUCCUCGGUUAAAGGCUCAAUCGCCCACGCCAAGACUACACUGUUGAGAUACACAAAUGGUUGUCUAUGCGGAUAAUGGUAUACCUAGGUGCAUAAAAAUAAAACAAGUUAUAGAAAUAAUGUAUAUAUAACUAGUUAUUCCCACAUAAUAUAAGUAACUAGUUAUCAAAAUUGAUGUUAAUACCUUUGCGCACAAGUCAUCCAGGCCUUUUGAACCUUAAUGACCUGUCAGUUGAUAGAAGCAUGAUAUCCCUAAAUUAGAGUACCAAUUACCUGAACAUAAGUCUCCGCCUUUUUAUUCUCAACAAGUGCGAAUCUGAUGCUAAAGUUCUUCUGCAUCAGAGUCACGCCAGUCAACUAGAUCACUGGCUUCCUAUACUUGUUGGUGUUGAAGGUUGAGUUAAUUAUAAUCACAUAAUACCAAGCCCCUAACAUCUGAGCACACUCAGGGUGGCUGAGAAAAAGGUUGGAAAGAUUUCCAUCCUUAUCCUAUAUAGACUGAACAAAGUACCCCAGACAUGACACGACUCUCAAUUUCUAAUCCGUCGAACUCAUACCACCUAACUUUUCCUUCCUAAUCUUGUAUGAGUCAUUGUAAAUUUGAUUCAUAUUUUGAUGAGUGUUGAACAUCCUGUUCAGAGCGUACCUGAUCUUAUUCGACUUUGUCUGAGUCGUAGCAAUGUCCAUAAUAUCGCUCUUCUCUUCACUUGUAACGGCAUUGGUUUCUGUGCUAGCUUUAGGGUAUGACAAGAAAAUAUGAUUGUGGUAUCCUUUCGAUUGUGAUGGAUCGUUGGUGUGGCCUACCCAGUCAACCCAGAACUUCCAGUCGCCUUCUACCACACGGCACCUCACUGCUAGUUUGAAGGGGCAGUCACACUUUUUCGUGUUCGACAUCCGUUUUGGUGGGUCAGAACUUGAUGAUUUGCGAGCAGGCCCACAAGAGCAAUAUAGAUACACCCGGUACUCACGCUCUGCCUUCUUUGUAUUGUUGGGUCCUGUAGUCAACUUGAAAUUAAGCGACUAGGCAAUUUGCUUUGCAGCUUCACAAGCUUCCUCCGAAGUAUGGUAAACAUCCUCGGCUAAAAAUCUAUCGGUUUAAUUGAUUUUGUCACCCUUGUUCACCGAUUAAUCUCCAUACAAUAUAAACACGCAAAACGUACGCUACAUUUAUCAAUUAUCUACACAUCUUCGGAUAAGAAUCGCUUAUGUCUCCAACAAAAUUAACGACCACUUACCGAAUUACUCAUGACGAAUUAGUGCAUCCAACGAACAUCUAAACCAUGUCACGAAUGUGAUUACCUAAACAAAAUUAAACGUGAUCAUUAAAAAAUUUAAAAAAUAAAAAUAAACUCGAACCGGUCGGACCAAAAUUCUGGCUGGCGCCGGAUUCUAGCCGCCAAGGAGGCCCAGCCGGUUGGAUGGUCAUUCAGCCAGAAUUUCGGCCUGCCCGGCAAAUAUUUACCGAAUUAUAGAGAAAAAUGUACCUUGAGAGAAUUUUUUGACUGUAAAUUUGGAAAAUGUCAUCUUUACGAAUUCUUGGGCGUCGUUUUAUUAAAAAAACUAGGACAUCAAAUAGUAAUACUCAAAUUUCCAUAUUUGGGGAAAUGAGUAAUAACGAAGCGCAUGUUUGUUUAAGAGAAAUUAGGAGGAAAGUGUACAAAAAAUAUCGAGUUUUUAAGAAAUACUUAUUUUUUUACGUCAAAUGGACUGGUGUUUUACAGAGAUAUUUUUCCUCUGGACCCACGUUUCAUCCAUAAUUUGUCAUUUUGAAAUACAUGGUCUCAAAAAUGUUCUUAGAAAACUAUGAGUUUUCACUCAGUCUUGGUCGAUGUUACUUAUUGUCCUCGGUCUUUCUUCUUCUAUCCCUAACCCAAUCUUCUUCCGCCGUCGAGUCUUCCCCAUCGACUCAGUCUCUGUCCUUUGUGAUUUGCAAGAGGGUGAUGGAAGAUAUUUCUCCCUCCUUGUUAAUUGCUUCACAUGAGACUGGAAUUUGGGUCUUCAAAUUAGAUUUAAAAUAAGGGUUAUUAUAAUCAUUACAUAAUAACCACUAACAAAUUGAAACUUAUAUUUCAAUUCUAAACAUUGUCACCAAAUAAUGUAUGAAGUUCCUCAAUAAUUACACAAUUUUUUAUUCCUCAAUUAUCCAUUUUUACUUCCGCCCACUCUCUAUUACUCCAUACCAAACAAGCCCAAAGAUUAAUUGGCGAGUGAAUUUUUGAAUUCAGGAGUGAAGUCGGUCAGGUGGGUCCCCUACUGCAUUACUAUUCCCCGUGGGUGGGAAAACUCAAAAGUAAAACAUUGCUUUUAAGUCAUAAGAUAAAAUUAAAAUAAAAAAUUUCUACCAACAUAAAAGAAAUUAAAAUUUCAGAUGAAUAUAUAACAUCUCAAAUCUCAUAGAUUUGUUUUAGAGUGAGUGCAUAAUUGGUUACUUUUACAUCCUCAGAGUUAAUGUAUUAUUCCUAUAAAAGUACGUGUAACUCAUAAAUUAUAGUUUUUAUAGUAAUUCUUACCAUUACACGAGUAUGUAUCUUUAGCCAAAGAAACGACUUAUAGAUUUAAUCCAGGACGUCUUAAUAAAUUUUUAUGGUCCAAAAUUUGAUCCAGAAUUUCUUCCCUUAUCUUCUCUUAUCUUCUUCUUCUCCGACAGAAAUCGCUGAAGUCACUCCACCAUUAAAAUCACCAAAGCUUUCAACUUUUUUUUAAAUACACCUCUCCCAUUACAAUUUUGAAGAUUUAUUUUGUAGGAUUUGUGUUGUUGAAUCAUCCUCGUCUUUGAGUUACUACACCAAUUGUUAGAAGUUAAUGCAACUGAUGUUGUACUUACAAUGGACGCGAGAGCGAAUUUGAUGGUAUAUCGAGAGGGGAUUCACAAUAUGAAGACUUGGAAUAAUAAGAAGAUGAUGAUGAAUAAGAAGAAGAAGAAGCAAAACCUUUUCAUCCAGAGACAAACCCACUUGAGGAGGAAGAAGAAAUGACAGAAAUAUAAGGCUUGGUCAAAAAGGACGAAGCAAUUUCGGAGGGGAUGAUGAUGAGAAUGCCAGCAACGACAGAAUCGAAUCACAAAGAAUAUGGAAUCCAAAACGAAGGAGAAGUGAUGUUGAAGAAUGACGUGAUUAUGCAAAAAGAGGAAGAUGCAAAGGACGGAACAGUUGAAGUUGUUGAAAUCCUCAACUUUGAGAAAAUAGAGGACGGUGUAAUUGAAGAGGUAGAUGGCUACAUUGAGGAUAAUGACAUGGAAGACAAGAUCGAAAAUGAGGAAGAUAGUAGCCCCGGUAGCAGCGAAGGACUAGUUGUCGAAACAAAGAAAGAUGAGUUAGAGAUAUGGGGAGGAUAAAAACCUGCUUUGCGGAUUCCAAUGCCUAUUUCUUUGGGUGGAUGUGUUAUUUAUAUUUGGUUAUUAUACUGAACAACUGGUAGUUUCCUGCCUUUGUUAUUUCCCUAAACUUCGUGUUAAAUAAUAAUAGUACAUCAUUUGGUAAAUCAUUACACACUAUGAACACAGUCGUAACACCAUUGUAACACUUAUAUCUUCGUAUAGUGUGAAUUGCAGUUUUUUAAUGUCUAAGACAACAACAUAACACUCUCAUAAUGGGUAUAUACCAGCAAUAUAACAUGGAAUUUAUUACAUGCCAGGUUAGGUGUGUUAGGUGGCCAUUCAUUUAAUGGACGCAGUAACAUUAACUAUCCUUUAAACUGAACACUACCUUCCUGCAUUAAAUGAAGUUAUGUUAGAUGUGUGCUCUUAAUUACUUCACCACCUACUUGACCUUCUUAAUACUCAAUUCAACUCACUUUGUUUACUGCCUCAUACAUUUCUCCCAUUUUACACACCCAUCCUAAUAUACUUUAACGACAUAAACAAUGAGUCUCAACUACACAUUUGUAUGGUGUAACCUCCGAGGGCUCCUCGGUUAAAAGCUCAAUCGCCCACGCUGAAACUGCAUUGUUGAGAUACACAAAUGGUUGUCUAUGCGAAUAACGGUAUACCUAGGUGCAUACAAAUAAAACAGGUUACAGAAACAGUGUAUAUAUAACUAGUUAUUCCCACAUAAUACAAGUAACUAGUUAUCAAAAUUGAUGUUAAUACCUUUGCGCACGAGUCAUCCCAGGCCUUUUGAACCUCAAUGACCUGUCCGUUGAUAGAAGCAUGAUAUCCCUAAAAUAGAGUAUCAAUUACCUGAUUCGAAGAGUUGUACCAAAACUUCAGUGAUGAGUGUUAGGAUUCCACCCUAUUAGUGCUCGUGUUUCCAAUAUGGAUAACCCGAUAUGUGUCGCUAUGGGCCCACUAGGUCAUAUAAGGUAGUCACUGACUCCCUAGGAACGACAUCAAUCCUCUGAUAUUGGCCCAAUCACGAUAGAUCAUGCGUUCCCACUCUUUGUAGAACUCUUCAUCCAAAAGUGCAUUCAACAUUUUAUUCCACGUCCCGUGCAAGAAGGCCUCAACAACUUAUUUCUUCUUCGUGAUCAACUUAAUUUUGGCAGCUAUAUUCCUUUUCAUAUGCCACACGCAAAGUAAGUGUGGUGUUUCAGGAAGACAGUGCACAAUCAGACAGCUAAUCCACGCUCCUUGUCAGUCACAAAUGCCUUCUUUUGCCGCUCACCCAGCAACACUCUCAACUGCUUCAAACCCAAACAUAAGUCUCAACCUUUUUGUUCUCAACACGUGCGAAUCUAUAAGGAGAAACCUCAAGGUUUUGAAAGCGCCGCACAUCAUGUGUACGUCUGCAAGCUCAAGAAAGCACUAUAUGGACUCAAGCAAGCUCGAAGAGCAUGGUAUGGUAAAAUUGCAGAGUUCUGUAUUCAGAAUAACUAUAUGUUGACUCUUGUAGAUUCUAGCUCAUUCAUGAAGAACCAUCAAGGGAAGCUGGCGAAUACUCAUGUACGUUGAUGAACUCAUCAUUACUGGAUAUGAUGAACCAGAAGUUAAUCAAAUUAUAGAAAAUCUACAGGUACGCUUCAAGAUGAAGGAGCUAGAAGUGAUGAGACAUUUUCUUGGACUUGAAGUGGAAAGAAAAAAGGAAGGACUAUUUCAGUGUCAACACAAGUAUACAAAGGAUCUCUUGGAGAAGUAUGGAAUGCUGGAAAGCAAGCUAACAUCUACUCUAAUAGAAGUGAAUGCUAAGCUAUGCCCGACGGAAGGAAAAGACUUAGAAGAUAGAAUAAUGUAUGAACAGCUAGUUGGGAGUCUAAUCUACCUCAUGUUGACAAGGCCAGAGUCAUCAUAUACAGUAACUAUGGUGAGAAGGUUCAUGCAAAAUUCAAAGAAGCAACACUUGGACGAGCCUAGCAGAUUCUCCGUAUGUGAAAGGUACAAAUGAUUUCGGUAUAUUUUACAAGAAAUGUGAAAAGGAGAAUUAGCAUGAUAUUGUGAUGUCGACUAUGUUGGAGAUCUUGUUAUGAGAAAAUCAACAGCUGGAUACAUAUUCACUAUCGGAUCAAGACCCAUUCCGUCGUGUAGUAAACGACAAACUACAGCUGCACUAUCAACUACUGAAGUGGAGUACAAAGCGUUAGCGAUGACAGUCCAAGAAGUUGCACUAUGUGGCUUAUACAAUUCUUAGAAGUUUGGUACAACAAGUGAGCUACUCAGUACCAGUAUAUUAUGAUAAUCAAUCAGCAAUGCGAUUGGCGGAGAAUCCUGCCUUUCAUGCCAUUACGAAGCAUGUGGAGGUAUUCAAUAUCAUUUUUUAGAGAAAAGGUACUUCAUGGACUCAUUGACAUGAAGUAUGUCAAUAAUCAAAAUCAACUAGCAGAUAUCUUCACGAAGGGCUCAACAGACUAAGGCUACAAGAACUCACAAGAUAAAUGGGCAUGAUAAAAAGAUUAAAUAUAUUUUGCCGGAGAGUGUUAAUAGUAAAAAUCAAAACAUAUUUGAUUAAAAUAAUUGAAGAUAUUAUAUAAAGUAUGAAGAUUUUUAAGGAGAGAUUUCUAGAAAAUAAAAGAGAAGAAAAUGAAGAAUUGUCUAGACAUAUGGAGAAAGAAGAGAAGGGAAAAUGUGUAGAGAAGAAUAAGGAAUCGUAGAUAUUUUGGUUGAAAUGUCCGUUAAAGUGUAGUAGAAAUAGGAGGAAGUUGUUUGCUUUGAGAGUGUAAGAGUUGAGAAAGAAAUGAAAGAGUAUAAGACUUGAGAGAAAGGUUUCUGUCUUGCGAAAGUGAAGAGAAGAGAGAAGAGAGAAGAGAGUGUAUUGAGUACGGUGAUGUGCAUUGUAAUACUGUGAGCUAUUAGAAGUGAUCCCUCCCUUCAAGCUGGGAAUUUCAACUAUAUUCUGAAGUCAAUCAUUACUCUGAAGUUAAUCUUUGACUUUGUUAUCAUUUUGAGAAAAUAGAGAGGAAAGAGAUGAGAAGCGGAUUUUUUGAAUUCCAGAAAAACAAAACUAAUCGUGUUUUAGUUUAGAUUUUGGACAUCUACUUCACCAAGUCAAAAAAGAAGAGUUAGUCUGUUUCUGUAAAUAAUAAAGUGCAUGUAAAGAAAAGAGCACGAGAAGAACAAUCACAACACAUGAUUUAACGAAGUUUUGCCAAUGUCAACCCGAUUUUAUCGUCAAUUUUCACUCAGAGGUUUCCCUUUAAGAGUCUUGAAAGUUCUUUUAGAUUAAUACCACUUAAGGAAUACUAGUAUAGAAUCAAUAAACCAACCUGAGUGAAGGUCCCUACAACACCCUAGUUCCCCGCUACGUUACUUGAUCUAUAAACUUGAAUAUCCUAACCAAACUACUCAAUACUUGCUAGCUCCCUUGUAACUCGUAUUUUUUGCUGAUAUUCUCUUAAUCUAAGAUCUUUGCCUUAGCCGAGUUUUUUUUAUAGGUAUUUAUAGGGUUUUGGGACGUUUUGUGAAAGAGCCAACUUCCAUAUCUUAUACUUGCAAGUUGCAUGAGAUAAAUGUAAAGGAUUAGUAUAAGAUAAUUUACAAAAAAACCCGUAUUUCCUUAGACUAUCUAUUUCGAUCUUUAUCUCAUUCUUUAAUUAAAUCAGUUUUUUUAAUGAUACUUCAUUUAUUCCCGACUUAUAUUGAAUAUAACCUAACAAUCUUCUCUUAAGUCUGAAAAUGUCUCAUCUUUGUUGAUUGAGAGUUUAUCUCUGUUGAUAGUCCGGAAAAAUGAUCGAAGACGGAUUAGAGAUAUAAGAGAUAAAAGUUUUGAGCUUGCAGAAGCUCCCCUCAAUGACUGCAGGAUGUCUGAAUAAGAACGCUUAAGAACUGUAAGAUGCCCGAAUAGAAGAAAUUUAAAGAUGAUCAAAGUAGUAGAAUACUGUUGAAUAUCGACCAAAAGAAAAGAUAAGAUUGACACAAUCGAUAACUUUUAUUUCAUAAGAACCAGAGCAACUUCAAUUAAAAAAAACAAUAGCAGACUAACAGAUGCUAGAGCAUAAAGGAGAAAUAGUCUUUGAUAAAACUAAGACACGAAAGACAAUGGAAGACAUUUCAAACAAACACACUUGAAACAAACACACUUGAAACAAACACAUUCUAGCUAAUAGAGAACUUCAUCCUGAGCUGGUUGAGAUCUUCAUCCUGAGCAUCUUGACCAUUCCAAAUAUUCAGGCGAUUCCAAUCUUCAUCAGCAAGGUCAUCAAUACUGACCGAUCCUCCUCAUCAACAAAGAGCCUAAGAUGCAGGAAGAGAAGCAUAAAGAGACACAACAAGGUACUUAUGGUGGAGACGAAUCCUUAGAUUUUUCAGAAGAAGCGAGAUCUCAGGACCGAGCAGAUGGGCUCCAGUAACAUUGGGGCUACUAAAGUGAACCAUGUAUGCAAACAUCAACCGAGAGAAAUCCGUACGCUGAUUCUUUGAGGCGCAGUGCAUGACCCAGAGAUCCAUAGGAAUCACCAGAUGUCGCGCUUCAGAGCAAGAAAGAAACACGCGAGUAAUAAAAUAGUGCAGAAUCCUAAGGUUCGAAGGAAAUUCGAAAACAGGAGCGAGAUAGGAGCCAGAAGGAAGCUGCAUCCAGAGAGAGAUGGCUUCAGAGGGACUAAAUGAGUACCUGAGGAAAUUGACUUCGGAAAACACAACGGGACCCUCACAGGGAAGGCAUAGAUUCAGAGGAAGCACCUCAUGCGAUAUGAAGAGGAUGUGGCCAUCCACAUAGGUGCUGAAGCACCCUUGAGCAAGGCGGCAAUGAAGCUAUAAAUUCACAUAGAAUUGAGCCACUGCAGCUAGGAAGAACAUACAACGACGGUGAAGCACAAGGGAACUCCAUCCAAGAUUGCAAAUCAAGGAGGACACGUUAUAUAUUGACCAAACUCAACAUGAUUGACUUGGAGACGGGUGAGGAUAGGGCGAGGCGAGAAGAACUUCGCAUCCAUGGCAUGGUGGGUGGAGGAUCUCAUAAGGUCAUUAGUAUAUUGGCAUAGGUACUGCUACGAGAACCAAUAUAAGGAUUGAAGAAGCUCAUGUUUGAGGGACAGCUAGGGUUAGGAAGACAGAAAGACAAGAAAAGCCACAUACACAGUCAAGUAAUAUAUAGCAACAAACAAAACAGGAAGAAGCAAUCGGGCAUGAUUACUCCCCUACAAGUCAGGAAAAAUUAUAGACGCUCCACAAGGGAGCUAAUGUCGGUUUGGGACAGAAUUCCCUAGGACUUUCAGAGAAAAAUAAAACGAUCAACAAGAAGGGUUUUUGUAAAAGUAUCCACAAGUUGAAAGUCAGUUUCAAUGAAGACUAGUUCAACCUCCUUAUUAACCACUAUAUAAGAGAUAAAAUGAUGACGAAUAGAAAUAUCUAGCUUCUCUAAGUUUGAAAACAUGAUCAAGAAAAUUAUAAUCCUCGGAACCUGAAGGUUGAGACACAUACACUUCUUCAGUCAAAUCUUCGUUUAAAAAGGCACUUUUGACAUCUAUUUGAAAAAGUUUGAAUUUUUAAGACUUGCAAAAGCACUCAGCAACCAAAUUGCUUAUAGUCUAGCAACAGGGACAAAGGUUUCAUCAAAGUCUAUGCCUUCUUCUUGAUUGUAACAUUGAGCAACUAAUCUAGCCUUAAUUCUGACUAUAUUAUCGUCUCCAUCAGAUUUGUUUCUAAAAAACCCAUUUAGUUCCUAUGAUAGCUCUGUUAAUGGGAUGAGGGACAAGAUACUAAAUAUGGAUACGAUAAAACUUGACCAUUUCCUCAGUAAUAGCAUAGUUCUAGUUAGGAUCAAGAAGAGCUUCUUUAGCAUUUCUAGGAACAAUCAAAGAAAAAAACCAGAGUGGGUUUUGGAACGAGUUACCACUCGAGAUGAAGGGUCACCGAUAAUCUGAGAAGAUGAUGGAUGUCUCUUGCAUAUGUGUUGUGGGGCUUGAUCAUUACUUCGAUUAUUAUUUUCGUCGUUGGUCACCACAUUGUUGAUCUAGUCUUCCAGAAUAUUCUCUGUUUCACUCGAGGCACUGUCUAUAGCUUCUUUAUCUUGUUGAGAUGUACUUUCACUGAUUUCAUAUGAAGGUAUGAGAGAAGUAUCUUUCGUGUUAGUUUCUAAAGAUGGAACCGUUUGUGGUAUCAACUCAAAGUCAGCUUCAUCAAUAUCCUGCAGAAUCACAUCCUCACAAGGAGAUUCAUCAAAUAUCACAUUAAUUGAUUCCUCGACUUUCAAGCUUUGUUUGUUGAACACACGACAAGCUCUAUUGUUGUCAGAGUAACCGAGCAAAAAACCUUCAUAUGAUUUUGAAUCAAAUUUACCAAGGUGAUCCUUGGUGUUGAGAAUAAAGCAUUUGCAACCAAAAAGGCAAAAAAACCUAUAUGGGAUUUCCUUUUUUUCCACAACUCAUAAGGGAUUUUGUUAAUUUUCGAUCUUAUGAUAGCACAAUUUUUUACAUAGCAUGUGGUGUUAAAAGCUUCUCCCCAAAACAUAAAACUAUACCAAAAUCAUUCAACAUAGUUCUAGCUACCUCUACUAGAGUAUUAUUUUUCAUUCAACUAUUCAAUUUUGCUGAGUUCUCAGAGUAGACAAGUGAUGGAUACUGCCGAAACUUUCAUAGAAUUCUCCUCUAUUAUUACUAGGAAUUCUAAUAAUGCAGAGUUGCUUUUCAUUUUGAACCAUCUUAAAUUUUUUUUUGAAUUUUUCAAACAUUUCAUCNNNNNNNNNNNNNNNNNNNNNNNNNNNNNNNNNNNNNNNNNNNNNNNNNNNNNNNCCUUAGCACAAGCAUUAUAGAAGAAUUCUUUGGCAUAAUUUAAUUUGGGUAACCCUUUGACUAAAUUAAGAUUGCUAAGACGAGCUAGGUCACCAAAGCAAACACGACCUAGUUUGUGAUGCCAAACAAGCUUAUGACUUCUUUUCUAGUGAUUAAGCACAUGUGAUUAAUGUCUUCAACUAGAUCAAGGUUGAUUAAAUAGAUGUUCCCUCUUUUUUCUUUAGUAAAGAGGACCUUAUCCUUUGAGAUUUGUUUUAGAAAGCAAAAAUGGACUUGAAAGUAACAUAAGUUAAAUUUAAGACCUUCUACGAAAUAAACCUUAUUAAGAAAAACUUUAUCUUUCAACCCUAUUUUUCGAAUGCCUAAAAUUUUGCAAGUUCUUUUAUCACUAAAAUGAACACUGCCUUUAUUUAUGAAUUGUUAAUCAUAAAACAUAGAUAUGGUGCCUGUCAUGUAAUGUGAACAUCUGAUAUCGAGUAUCCACUCAUUGUUAACACUAGCCCAAUAACAGACCUACAACAAAAAUAGUCAUUUCUGCUUUGGACCCAGAUUGGUGCCUUGUUUUUUAAAUCUUCACAGGUUAAUUAUUUAUGUAGUUAAAUGGGAUAUAGUUUCUGAAUCGUAGAUAANNNNNNNNNNNNNNNNNNNNNNNNNNNNNNNNNNNNNNNNNNNNNNNNNNNNNNNNNNNUCGUAGAUAACAUAAUCUCUGAUAUCAAUAUAUCUAGGCAUGGGUAGACUUUUUCUAUAGUAAGGCCAACGUCUUAGCUUAUUAAUAAAAAUACGAUUCUGAUAAUGAAUAUUUCGUAAGUUCAAUUUAACAUUGCUAGUAUUCAUGUCAGAAUGAGUCAGUCUUAAAUCAUAUUCAUUUUUUAUAUUGGUUACCUUAGCCAGUUUAUUUUUUAAGUUCUGAAUAUAACUUCUGAUCUCCUAUUACUUCUUUCAGAGUCUCAUCAAUUCUCAUUCGAAGAGUUUCUUCAUACUUAUGUUUGGAGUUAUCAUACUGACAAGCAUCAGAGUCGGAUAUAUCAAAGUUAGAGUCUGUGUGAACCUCUGUUUUGAAAAGUUGAAUGUUCACUGUCUUUUUGUUUCUCAAAUUCAUCCUCUUUGUCUUCAUCAGUGUUUGUUAUGGUCAUUAAUCGUAUCUUAGAUGCUUCAGAUUCUUCAUCAUCUUCACUGGCAUUCCAAGUGGCAUGGUAUGCUCUUUCUCUCUUCACCAAGGGGCAAUCAGCUUUAAUGUGUCCAACCCUGCCACAUCGAAAACAACCAGCAAACAAGCUUCCAGGUAUAGAGCUGGAAUUAGCAUAUUUUCUGUCUUUAAACCCUGACUUAAUUGGGUUUUGAGGUUGUUUAGCCUCACUUGUGUGAUUUUUAUCAUGGUACUGAUUUUAAACUUAUCUUUCCUUAAUUUAAUUAGUCUGCUAACUUGUUUUGAGAGAAGAUCUAGAGCAUCACCAUUAUAAUCAUCUAUAUCAUUUGGUUUUCUAGAGAAGUUUUGAAAGCAACUGAUUUCUUGAUGACAGGUACAUCCACAACAUCUUCUUUAUUUAAAAUCUCUUUACGUAUUAGAAAUUUUCCAUUAAUUCAUCUAGAUCGAUAGUAUCUAAUUUGAUAACUUCUUCAAUUGAAGUUACCUUGGGCAUCCAACACCAUAGCAGCUUUCUAGCAACAUCUUACAUAUCAUAAACCUUUCCUAACCCAGCAAGUUUAUUGACGAUGUUUUAAAAACGAUUACCUACUUCUUUGAUGGUUUCUCCAAAAAUUAUUUUGAACAUUUCAAAAUCUUGUUUUAGCAUGUUUAUCUAUGAAGUUUUAACAAUAUUUGUUCCUUCAUUAGUUAUAACCAAGUUAUCCCAAAUUUCUUUGCAACUGGAAAAAUUCUAUUGAACUCCUCGUUUUCUAAAGCACAAUAUAUAAAUAUUAGUAGCUUGAAAAUUGAAUUGUACCACUUUCACAUCUUCGUCAGACCAUUUGCCUGGGGAGGCUUUCACUUUCUUGGGUUUGUUGGUGAUAAUGAUCCACAGCUGGGGAUUGGUUGAUUUAAUAAACAGCUUCAUUCGGUUCUUCCAAUCAUCAACAUGGAGCUAUUCAAACCUUGGAGGUCGAUUUUUUGAAAACCAUCUUCGAGAAAACAGAUUUGUCAAGUGGUCUAAUUCAUAGUCGGAAAAACGAAGGAAACAAAAGAGAUGGGGUCUGAGACUACCUGAGAUCUUUACUAGUCGAAUCGUUGAGAUUACAGUUAGUGCACCAUUAUGAUACCACUUCUUAGAAGUGACCCCUCUCUUCAAGCUGGGAAUUUCGACUAUGCUCUAAGGUUAAUCGUUGACCUAGCUAUUAGUCGGAGAGAAGAGAGAGAAAGGAGAUCAGAAGCCAAUUUUCUAAUUUCCAAAAAAAACAAGACUAAUCGCGUUUUAAUUUAGAUUUUGGGCAUGCGAAUAUAUUUAGUGAUGGAUAAAAUGAAUUGAACCAAUCUAGAAGCAGUCUUCUUCUUCACCAACUCAGAAGAGAAGAGUUGAUCUGUUUUUGUAAAUAAUAAAGUACAGGCAAAGAACAGAGUACGAGCAGAGCAAUCAUAACAUAGGAUUUAACAAGGUUCCGCCAAAAUCAACCGACUUUGUUGUCAAUCCUCGCUCAUAGGUUUUCCUCUAUGAGUCUUGAAAGUUCUUUUAGAUUAAUACCACUUAAGCAGUACAAGUACAGAAUCAAUAAACCAACUCGAGUAAAGCUCCCUGCAACACCUUAGCUCCCUACUACGUUACUUGAUCUGUAAACUUGAAUAUCUACCUAGUACUUGCUAGCUCCCUGAUAACUCAUACUUUUUUCCGGUAUUCUCUUAAUCUAAAAUCUCUACCGUAGUCGAGUUUCUUUGAUAUGUAUUUAUACGGUGUUGGGAAGUUUUGUGAAAGAGCCAACUUUCAUAUCUUGUACCUGCAAGUUGCAUGAGAUAAAUGCAAAGGAUUAUUAUAAGUCAAUUUUCUAAAAGCAUGUAUUCCCUUAGACUACCUAAUUCGUUCUUUAUCUCAUUCUUUAAUUAAAUCAAUUUUCUUAAUUAUAGUUUAUUUAUUCCGGACUUAUAUUGAAUAUAAUCCAACAUAAGCUUUCAUAAAUUAUAAAAUAGUCAUUCAAGUUAUAAAGUGUGCAUUUUAGUCCAUCAAAUUCAAUAUGUUUUACUUUAACUAUACAGUGACAUUAAUUCUUCAGUUCUCCCUUUCAUAUUGUGCUUGCCAUCCAUUUACUUCGUAAGGAAGAGACAAUGGGUUGAAAGGAUCGGAUAGGCCUCAGCCUCCACUACGAAGCCAAGUUCUAUACCGUUUUAUUACAUAAUGACAAGGAUACUUGGGGUAUAGGAUAAUUAUAUAAGGGAGGAGGUCAUGUCUAAUUUGGCUCCUCAUGAGACUUGAACAUUCAUGUGUUUGUGAUUUUGAAUAAGUGGAUGAAUCAUUAAGAUGUAACCUACAUGUCGGAUAUGUUGUUUUCAUACUGAAAUCAUGUAAGUCCUUAGUGAAACUGUCAUUGUUGUAACUUUACUGGUGCUUUAAUGCAAACCCACUAACUGCUAAUUGGUCUAAGUAUUUUGCCCCUUUUAGGUGGACCGUGUAAGCACUUUUAUGUCUUUGCGCAAUCAACUUCCACAUGAAAGAGAAUAUAUUUCUUGAUAGGAUCGACUGCAGAUUAAAGAACAAUUAAAGUGAACAUCCUUUACAUAGAAUGAAGGAACAAAACAGUCCUUAUAAGCAAGAUAAGAACACAUCAUAGAACUAAGGAACCAACAACACCAUUACAAUACCAACUAAGAAAUGCAUCAGAAACCAUGCUCAAUAAACUGAUGUGUUCUUUUCUUCAGUGGAUAAUACACCUUCACCAAAACAUCCAACUCUUUAUCUAGGUAAAGUGUAUAAUUUUUGUCCACCAUAAUAAAAAUACAUUAUUAGAUGCAUAAUAAAAUAUCAUUAAAAGCUAUCGACAAACAGAAUACAAACACUUUAAAACAUGAAAAAAUAAUGUCCAAACUAUUGAAUACAACUUGAUCUGUUUAUUGUUGAAGCUAUUCAGUCUCGCCAAAGAUCUUUGCACGUAAAGUGUACUCUUCAAACGAUUCACCUUGUUAUUGAAGCAUCAUAUUUCAUCCCUCAGCUCUGCAUUUUUAAGUAUAAGUGCGCAGUACACCUCUACGAAAUCAUCCUCGCCACUAUAUACAAAAAUCACAGCCCUUAUGCCUUAGCUAGUUAGCUUACACAUAAGAUAAUACCCACGCACUUCUAAUUCACAUGAAAUGUAGCUGAAAAACCAUAUUCGCAUAUAAAAGUCACACUCAUGUUGAAAAUUAGAAGUGAGAAGGGUCUGCAGUUGAAGAAAAGUUCAAAUGGAAGAAGAUUGUGAAUUUUAUAGAACACCUAAGCUUUGUUUCUCAUUCAAGAAAACUCUACAUAAAUUUUGGGUAAGUUUUUGGAAAUUAAUUUCAAUUUUAGUUUUUAUUUUAUUUUUCAUUUCCCGUGACUCCGAGUAGCGUCUUCAUCUUAACGAACACAUCAUGCUUCAGGGGCUUCAUGAAAAUAUCUGCAAUUCGAUCUUCCGUCUACACAUACUUCAGCGUCACUUCUUUCUACUCCACUCACUCUCUUAAGAAAUGAAAUCUUUUAUCUAUAUGCUUACUACAAUCACGAAACACCGGAUUCUUUACAAGAGCUAAUGCAAACUUGUUGGCAAUCAUAAUCUCCGUGGAAUUUGCUUGUUCCAUCUUUACUUCCUCAGUAAUCUUCUGAGCCAUAUUGCAUGGCAUGCACAUGAUGUAGCUACAUAUUCAGCUUCACAACUAGACAAGGUCACAAUAGCUUGCUUCUUCGAACUCCAUGCAAAAGCUAUAUCAUCAAGAAAGAAUACGAAUCUGGUAGUGCUUUUUCUAUCAUCCACUUCUCCUGACCAGUCACUAUCACAAUAUCCAACCAAUCUGAAAUCAUCAGUGUUUUUAUAGAAUAGACCGUAGUCAAUUAUACCUUUGAUGCAGCGCAAAAUCCUUUUUGUUGCAUUCGAGUGUGACAUGGUAGGAGAUUCCAUGUAACAACUAACUAACCCAACUGUCUAUAGUAUGUCCGGUCUCGUAUAAGUGAGAUAUCUAAGGCUUCCAAUUAAGCUUCAAAACUUCGUUGGGUCGACCUUCUCUUCGUUGUCAUCUGUUGAUAAUUUGAGUCCAAUUUCAGCUGGUGUAUUCACCGGAUUGCAACUCUCCAUCUUGAACUUCUUGGAAUAUCUUGAGCAAAUCCGCUUUGUGAGAUAAAUAUGCCUUCUUCCUUUUGUGAAACUUCAAUUCCAAGAUAGUAUGACAUUAAGCCAAUGUUUGUCAUCUCAAACUCACGCUCUCUCGCCUUCUUGAAUUCUUCAAACAUUUUGGGGUCGUUUCUUGUAAGAUUAGAUCAUCGACAUAUAAAAUCACCAAUAAGAUAGCUCCAUUUUACCCCGUUUUCAAAUACCCACUAGAUUGAUCUAAAGGAAUCGUUUAUUUCCCUAUGGUCUUUCUAAUUCUAUUACUCAAAUUGAUUAACUAACUAGACCACGUAGCAGUUUGUGAUUGUUUUUAUGAAUGUUUUAAGUAACCAAUUAAUGUCUAAGAAUGCAAAUGAAAGAAAAACAAAUUCAAGAGGUUGAAUUUCAAAUAGGAAUGAAGGUUGCUCGGGUUCGAAUCCACUAAAUCUAGCAAUGCAUGGAUGAAUGUCAAGUUAUCUCGGUUAUUCAGAUUAUAAUGGCUUGGCAAUAUCCUAAUGUAGUCUUUGAUGAAAUGCCACAACGAUAAACGUGCAAAAAGCCUAAAUGAUUCGCUCCUCUCUCGGGCUAACGAAUAAUCUAGGGUUCUUCCUAAGCGACCUAUCAACUUAUGUUAAUAUGUUAAUAUUCUAGCUCUAUGGUCUCUCUGGAACUCUAGCUCUCUCCAAGAGCUCGAAUAAUAUGUUAAUAUUCAGUAUAUGGAACCCUCGCUCUCUCCAAGAGCUCGAAAAAUAUGUGUAUAAGGAAGUAUAUCUCGUCCAUAGGGGUCUCGGGGAUAUUUAUAGGCUUCUGGACCAAGUUGGAGAAGGAAAAGGACUUGGAAACCCGUCUGGGGGUGGGACACGACAUGCUGCAUAUGGAACACGCCGUGUUCUAGGAACACGGCCGUUUUCCUGGCCGUGUUCGGCCCCUGUAACUUUCUUGGGCAAUUUCAGUGGAGGAAUACAUCGUGUUCCAUUUCGAACGUGGUGAUCCUUCAUUAUAUGUAAUUUUAUCAUACUGUCAACAUAACAGUUGUAGAUAAUCGAAUUACCUUUCCAACACCGCUGACCUUGCAUCAAUUGGACUUCGGAGCGAUGAGUUAUUCUCAAAAUACUAAACAGUUACGCUUUCUACCCAAGUCGAGCGCUUUGAGUUGUUCCGGCCACCCCGUCAUGUCUUGGUUUAUCUCUAAACAUCAUAUGACACUUGAAAUGUACUAAAAAUACCAAACACCAUAAUACGGCCCUGAGGGGCAAGAGAUACAAACAUAUACUCAAAAUCCGAAUUUGAAUACAUUUCGGCACACAAAAAUAUAGUUUAUAACGAGAAAAGUUGUGUCAAAAAUACAUCACAUCAAAUCACCCCACACUUAAACGCUUUCUUGUCCUCAAGUAAAUCCACUAAUCGCUCUUUAUACAAAACCUAACAUAUGGUGAUCAGAAGACAAAGCUCAGGUCCUUAAUUCUAUCAUAGUGUUCAGGAAUACAAGUCAAUCAACAAACCACACAAUUAGGCAUGAGACACCGAAUCCCUUGAAUUAGUAUAAGAUAGACUCAUACAUAUGAUACAAAUGAUUUGGCACCUAUCCACUGGAAUGUAUCCAUAUCCCCCAAACACUUAUACCUUCUAGUUGCUANNNNNNNNNNNNNNNNNNNNNNNNNNNNNNNNNNNNNNNNNNNNNNNNNNNNNNNNNNNNNNNNNNNNNNNNNNNCCGUCCUGCGGGCGGCGGUGCUUCAAUUUUUAAUAGCACUCAAGUUAUGCUAGCACCUCCCUCUUAUUUUGAGUUUGUUACUGAAAACAAAGCUUGAAUAUUUCAAUGUUGCUUUUCGUUUCUUUCUUUGUUUUUCUUUCUUUAUGGGUCUUUUAGAUAGCGGCUUUUUCCAAAUGGGGGAAUUAAUCACAACUUCAGUCGGACUGGGAAGUAACCAGUCUCCGGCGCACGCCCCAAGCCUAAAAAUGGUAGGGAAGACGGCAAACCACUAGGGUCGCCCUACGUGUUUCNNNNNNNNNNNNNNCCGUCCUGCGGGCGGCGGUGCUUCAAUUUUUAAUAGCACUCAAGUUAUGCUAGCACCUCCCUCUUAUUUUGAGUUUGUUACUGAAAACAAAGCUUGAAUAUUUCAAUGUUGCUUUUCGUUUCUUUCUUUGUUUUUCUUUCUUUAUGGGUCUUUUAGAUAGCGGCUUUUUCCAAAUGGGGGAAUUAAUCACAACUUCAGCCGGACUCGGUAGUAACCAGUCUCCGGCCCAUGCCCCAAGCCUCAUAAAGGUAGGGAAGACGACAAACCUCUAGGGUCGCCCUGUGUGUUUCGAUUGUAACCAAACCCCCCACGAAAUUUUUUACUUAGCAACCUCAUUUCGUUUUCUCCCGCCUGUUUUAACCUUCAUAACAACCUAGGAAAAUUCGUUGGGCGGAUACACAUACACUCUACUACGAGUUAGAACAAAACAGUGGAAGGUAACAAUUCAGUUUUAACAUAUAUAUGAGUCUCUAGUUUACUAAUUUUGGCAACGCGGCAGGUGAUUCGAAAAUUAUAUCCUCACAUCCAAGACAUCCACAAAUAGAAUGAGAACACUAAACGUGCGUUCCCUAACAUCCACAAACUAAGCUCAAGAGGGAGUUUCAAAAAUUAAAGACAGCCAUUCAUCAAUAUUACUACAAGUUAUGUACCCAUCAAUUAAGAAGCACCUUAAUUCACCCACACUUAAACAUGACAUUGUCUUCAAUGGACCAAACAAUCAAGUGAGAUAGGGCCAGAAAAUAUGGUACUAACUUGGGGAUCGUGAUAGUGAGCACAUGUAGAGUUUGGACGAGGACAAAGGCUCCAUUCAGUCGGCGCAUGAGAUUAAGACAUCAUCUGGAUAGGAUUAGAGUUCUAUAGCCACAGAGAAAUAAAAGAAAUAAGAGAGGAUAGGCUAGUGCCAAUCUGUUACAUCAACCCAUAAGAAAUAAAUGAAAACAAAACAAACUCAUAAUAUUUCAACAACAUGACAUAAGUAAAAACAAAUAAAAGAGAAAGACUCAACACUCGGGUUGCCUCCCGAGAAGCGAUCUUUCCUUUACGUCUUUGAGCUAGACGAUACCUGGAUUAAGCCGCCCAACUUAGAACCUCCUUGAAUUCCAUUAGUUUCUUCAAGUAUUGGAGUUGAAUGCCAAGUAGCACCCUCAUAGAUGGAUGGAGAAGUCGGGGAAGUGGUUGUGAGCUCCAGUUUGUGCCUUUAAGUGGAAAUCUCUUCUUGUUCUCUACUGCUUGAGGAGGGGAGAGGUAGUAUGGUGCGUCAACACUGGUAUCCUCAACUAUCCCUGAUUUGAUAGUGUAGCUUGAGAAGUCCUCUAGGGAAGGCAGGUUUGGUCCCAAGAGAGUGUCCUCUCGAAUCUUGUUUGUGAAGCACUCAUUACCAGUUUCCUGACAUAAGUCAUAAUCAAACAAGAAUCAAGAAGAGUAUCGGUUUCUCUUGGUGGGACAAGAAUAGGAGGGGGAUGCCAAAUAAUGAAAUGCUCAACGGUAGCUUGAAUGUCAUAAUGGAGAGGCUCUUCAUCUUUCCACACCUCUUCCACAAACUUUUCAUCAUCUUCUUCUUCAAAUUUUCCAAACUCCUCAUCAUGGAAAAUUAGGUUGUAUUCUAGGAAGGGUACUUCCUCCCUUUCAAACUCUUCUAACUUGUCAUCCUGGACAACUAGAUUAUCUUCAAAUAAAGAUAACUUUUCCACCACUACUUCAGCUGAUAUUUCCAUAUCUAUUCAUCUUCAUUCUCAACCUCUUCUUGUGGUUGAGGAUGCAAAUCUUGUUCAUCAAGGGGUGCCCUUAGCUGAUCUACCAUUUUUGAGAGUUUGUUUAGUUUUAUCAUAUUCUCGUUCUGAUUGGCUAUGACUUUCUCCAAAAGCUCAUAUAUGUAUGUAUACUCAGGAGGCGGACGUUGAUAUGAUUCAAGCCCUGAAUAUUGAUUUUGAAAGUGUGUACCGUCUUCAUGGUAGUUUUGGUGGUAGAAAUGUGGUGACGAGUCUUGGAAAAAAGAUGAUGGUGAUUGGUCACGAGUCUUGGAAAAAAGAUGAUGGUGAUUGGUCUUGAUUCCAAUUGAAAUCUGAUUCCUCUCCAAAGUUGUUCCAUUAUUGUUGUCCUCCUCCAUAGUUAGGCUGGUAGUAGCUUGGUGAACCUUAGUUCUCAUAAUAUUGGUUGGGUGAAGAACCCCAAUUUUCAUUAUAGUUAUCAUCCACAUAGGAACCUUGCCACUGUCCUUCCCAAUUGUAAUCCUUCAUAAAGGAACUCAAAAGAAACAACCCCGGUAAACUACGUGGGAGGAAAUAGAUCUGACAAGAUGAAUGAAGGAAUAGAUAACAAUCAAAAAUUUCAUAGAAAUAGAAAAGUUCCCCGGCAACGGCACCAAUUUGAUGGGCGGAUUUUACCCCAGUUUCAAAUACCCACUAGAUUGCUCUAAUGGAAUCGUUUAUUUCCCUAUGGUCUUUCUAGUUCUAUUGCUCAAAUUGAUUAACUACCUAGACCAAGUAGCAGUUUGUGAUUGUUUUUAUGAAUGUCUUAAGUAACCAAUUAAUGUCUAAGAAUGCAAAUGAAAGGAAAAAAAAUUUAAGAGGUUGAGUUUCAAAUAGGAAUGAAGGUUGCUCGGAUAGAAUCCACUAAAGCUAGCAAUGCAUGGAUGAAUGUCAAGUUAUCUUAGUUAUUCAGGUUAAAAUGGCUUGGCAAUUUCCUAAUGUAGUCUUAGAUCACUCUCAUGCCUCUAGGGAUCUAUUUCGCCUAACUAUAGACUCCUCUCUCGAGCUAAUCCACACCUAAACAAAAUGCAUUAAUAAUGUUUGAUGAAAUGCCACAACGAUAAACAUGCAAAAACGCUAAACGAUUCGCUCCUCUCUCGAGCUAAUGAAUAAUCUAGGGUUCUUCCUAAGCGACCUAUCAACUUAUGUUCCUCUCGGAUCCACAAAUCAAUGCCGAUGAUUCAAUCAAGACGGCCAGACAAAAUUGAAUCAGAAAUUAGGUUUUAGGAAGAAUGCAUUAUAAGUCUGAAUAAACUUCAAUAAAAAAUCAAAUCGUCCAUACAAAAGCUUAGCUAAAGCUUCAUCUCGUCCGAACAACACAAAAGGGUUAGCCGCUCAUGGUUUCGGAAAAUAAAUCAGAAGAGAAGAGAAGAAAAACCAAAGAAGAUGAUAUGUUCUUCGUGGAAAUCUCAAUCUUCGACUUGAUGAUUUGCCCUUCGCCAAUUGUGGUUGAUCCUCUCACUUCAAUCGUCUAUCUGGAACUCUAGCUCUCUCUAAGGGCUCAAAAAAAUGUUUAUAUUCAGUAUAUGGAACCCUCACUCUCUCCAAGAGCUCGAAAAAUAUGUGUAUAAUGAAGUAUAUCUCGUCCAUAGGGGUCUUGAGGGUAUUUAUAGGCUUCUAGCCCAAGUUGGAGAAGGAAAAGUACUUGAAAACCCAUCUGGGAUGGGACACGGCAUGCUCCAUAUGGAACACGCCAUGUUCUAGGAACACGACCGUGUUCCUGGCCGUGUUCGGCUCCUGUAACUUUCUCGGGAAAUUUCAGAAGAGGAACACGCCGUGUUCCUUCAUUCUACUGAAUUUUACCAUAGUGUCACAAUAAAAGUUGUAGAAAAUCGAAUUAUCUUUCUAACUCCGCUGACCUUGCAUCAAUUGGACUUUGGAGUGAUGAGUUAUGCUCAAAAUACUAAACAGUGACGCUUUCUACCCAAGUCGAACGCUUUGAGUUGUUCCGGCCUCCCCGUCAUGUCUUGGUUUAUCUCUAAACGUCAUAUGAAACCUCGAAUGUAUCAAAAACAUACCAAACACUAUAAUAUGGCCUCGAGGGGCAAGAGAUACAAACAUGUACUUAAAACCUAAAUUUGAAUACAUUUCGACACACAAAAGUAUAGUUUAUAACGAGAAAAGCUGUGUCGAAAAUACAUCACAUCAAAUCCUUCUUUAGCUUCACCACCUUCUUGUCCUUCAACUAUGUAUCUAGCAGGUUGCUCGAUGUAUAUAUCUUCUUCAAGAUAUCCGUUUAAAAUGCUGACUUGACAUCCAUCUGAUGAAUUUUCCAUUCGUUUUGUGCUACAAGUGAAAUUACCAGUCAAAGGCUCUCUAUUCUAGCCACAAGUGCAAAAACUUCAUUGUAGUCGAUAAUUUAGAUGUCAAAAUCUUAGAUGCUAGAUCCAAUUAUCUUCCUUCACGCAAGUCUUCAAGCAUUUUGUCGUGUCUGGUUGGAUGUUCAAGUUGAAUAUUCUGUUCUUCGACAUCGGAACUCUGUCAAUCAGCUCCUUCUUAUCAUUCCGCAACUCCAAUUGUCAAUCCAUCAUAUGAACUUCAUACUUCUUCUCCAGUAAUUGCCCAAGACUCAAGAUGUUGCAUGUCAUUUUUCGAGCAUAGUAGACAUCAUGAAUAAACUGGUGAGAACCAUCUUUUGAUUGGAUUAGAAUUGUAACUCUUCCUUUGAUUUGAACUUUCGACGAAUCUCCAAACACUAUGUUUUCUUUCACCCGGUCGUCAAUCUCCAUGAACAUGUUCUUCAUCUUGCACAUGCGAUUGCUUGUCGCGUUGUCGAGGGACCACGUGUUCUCAUUGCACCUUUUGUCACCCUGAUAGGAUAGCAACGCCUUGCCGCUGACAAUUUCUUCUUCAAUUUUGUUCUUUGUUUCUUCAAUUUCCUUAGGCGAACUCUAAUACCCUGAGGCAUAAUGCCCAUAUUUUGAGUAGUUGUAACAUUGCACGCUAGAUUUAUCUCGGCCUUCAUUUGAUUUCCAGCUUCUUCUUCCAUGUCCACGACCUCGUCCUCUGGUGGAUUGGGUGGAAGAUCCAUUUCCGGCAUCGGCUGCUCCGUCUCUUUUGUUGUAUGCUCCUCGACCUCUUCCUUUGCCUUUGCUGCUUGAACCUUGACCUCUUCCUCAGCCUCUCUAGUAGCUUCCUCCUCGUUUGUUUUUCACAUGUGUCGCCGUGACUUGCUCUGCUGGUUCCUCCUUCCAUUUUUCUAGCCUUUCUUAUCGCGCCUGUAGCGAUCCAACAAGUUCUUCAACUGUCAUUUUUUAGACAUCCUUCGCUUCUUCAAUAGCCACCACCACAUAGUCGAACUUCGGCAACAACGAUCAUAGAAUUUUCUCCACCACCCGAGUUUCUUCAAUUUCUCUCCAUAUGGCAUCAUCAAGACUUUGAUGAAUAAUAGUCAGCGCCUUCUGGUCACUUUUACGACUCUUAUGUAAAACCUCCUUUUCUGCAAAAGAUAGCUCGGAACUUUCUGUCGGAAUAUCGUAACCCUUCUCUAUGAUAUCCCACACAUCUUGUGAUCCGAAUAACACUUUCAUGCGAAGACACCAACUCAUAUAGUUGGUUUUGGUGAUGAGAGAAACUUGGAAGGUGGUAUGUGAAUUGUUGGCCAUCUGGGUGAUUUUUGACAGAAAUGAAAAGUUUAGGUGCUUUGAUACCACUUUUUUGGUAGUAUGAUGGGGCUAAACGACAAUAACUUAAGACUUUUGGUGACUAGUCUGGACGUUUAUGGAAAGUAUAGGACUGGGAAGGUAAUUGGGUGGGAAGCUUUAUUUCUAUUGAAAGAGAAAAUGAAUGUUGUCAGAAAUGUUUAGUAAUGAGAAGAGAGAGACAAUGAAUAGGAAUUUCUUUUUAUUUAUUCUUGUUUGUCUGACUUGCCCUUCACCAAUACAAAACGCCUCUAUUUAUACAUGUAAUUUUUUAUUAUAAUAAUACAGAUAUUUUGUUUUACUAUCACCGCUAAGUUUGUGGUUUUCAAAUUCUAAAUUUAUUUAGGCUGUCCAUCAUAAUUAAUUUGUUUAGUUGGCAGUUACAAAAAUCUCUAAAGUCAAUUUAUUCUUUCUUUCUGGAGUUCUCUUCAUAUCUCCACCAUAAUUUUAAUUAUUUUAUUAAAACUUUAUAUUUCAACACAUUGAUGACUAACCAUAGUCAUGUCAAUGUCUCUUUCUUUUGAUUUUUGGCAUGCAUGUUUCAUACAGCCUUUUCUGCUGAUUCUGUAUUCUAAAUCUUUUGAUUUAAUGUAUUAAAGACUAUAAACUUGAUUAAAGAAUAAAAAUGUACAAAAAUCACUCAUAUGUACCAACCGGUUGGAAUAUGUAUACAAAACAAAAAUAUGAUUUCAUAUGAGAUGUUAAGUAUUUGAAAGGUUGGGGAAUUAUAUUGUACUGAUCAUUUUGUCAUUGUCAUGGGUUUUUUCAAGAUCUUAUUCUGGAAUUUUAAACGGUUACUAUCAUCAUGGUUCAUUCACAAUUUUAUUUACGGACCUCAAAACUGUUACUUUCAUAUAGAUACGGUCUCUAGAACGAUUUUUUGGAGGGAAACUGUCGAUGUUUUUCUUUUGAUGUGAAGCAGAAAAAUGGAGGAUGGCAUCAAAAGACAGAUUUAGUACAAGUAAGAUUCUGUUUCUAUCAUUUUUCUCUUCACAUACAGCCUUUUCAAAAAGUACACUGUUUACAAUACUCUGUCCUAUCAUUGAGCUCUCGACAAAAUUGAUGGUUCUUCAUUAGUUGAUUUUUCUUCAUUCAUCCGUCCUUUGUGAUGUUGCCCUAGACUUCUGAAGGUUCGCUCCUGGUUUAAGUAUCACAAUCACCACUACAAGCAACUGAUCGAGUCGGAUGUUUUGAUAAGAAGUCCUCCAACAACUUUCUCAUGGCCCUGCUCAUGCUCACUACAUCGAAUGGUCAAGCCUCCCAUGGGAUGAUCAAGCCCUCAUUCUUCUUAAGCAAAUGCUCAGCAAGCCUUGAAAUGAAGGUUGGCUCAAACACGAAUCUGGUAUUAUAAAUCUCUUCUUCUGUGUCUCUCCAACAUAAAUUGCUAAGUAACCCUUUGGUACAUCUGCAAGCCUCGAAGAUGUUUUAAGCCUUGAGCCAGAGCUUGUUCUUCUAAGAGUUUUCUUAACAAGAUUACCAAGCAAUUCAAUAGCCAUGUUUCAUCCCCCCACCCCCCACACCCACCCCCCAUUAAGAGAGAGAAAUUUCUAAGAUCACUGUGAAACCUCAUCUUAGAAGUCUCGGCCGAUCCAUAGGUUUAACUCUCAACUAACAAUUAAAUUAACACCAUAACCAUCAAACCUAAUAUAUAAUUAGAGUUAGUCGACUCUCUGUUUGCUCAAACUUUCUCAUUUUUGUUGCUCUGACAAUAAAGCACCAAUUUGACUCUCUAUUUGCUCAAACCUUCUUAUUUUGGUUGCCGACAAUAAAACACCAAUUUGAAAAAAAAUAGAUACCUCCUUUCUUCUUCUUCAUUAAAUAACCAUCACAUUUUCUAAUUAUUAGUUUCUAUGGUGGUCAUCAAAUGCAUUCGUUCUUUGUUAAUUGCUAUCAUUUUUUAGAAUAUAUCCGUUAAGGUGAUAUAGUUGCUAAUUCAAUAAGCUCUUCCACUCAAUGAGUAAUACUGUAAUGGUAAUGUCUUGUCUAUUAAAAGGGUAUAUGUGAAAUUUUUUGAUUUAAUUCAAUUUUGAAUCGUAUACCAAACAUGAUUUGAGAAUUCCAAAUGAAUUCUACAACUAAUUCAUUUUGAAAUGAAAUGAAUUCUUGAUUGAUUAAUACUAAACGAUGUGGGUGUUAUAAGUAAUUCAUUUAUUUUGUUGAUAGAUUUUUAUCAUUUUAGUAAUAAGUGACAAUUAAAAUAAUAAGAAUUUUACAAUAAUCUAAAAUUAAUGCAUUUUUUUUAAAUAUGCUAUCAUAGAAGAUCGUGGAAUCGUAUGAUUUUGCGAUUCGAUUAUACAAUUACGAAUUUAGGUCAUUUUUCGAUCACAAGCAUACUUUCCGCAAAUACAAGCUUGAUUUGAUUUGAUUGUUAGUUGUUUAGUAAAUGAUAUAGCAUAUAUCAGCAAUAUCUGUCUUCCUACAAGAUAGGGUUAGUUCAUGCAUGAUAGAAAAAGCAAAAACAAAAGACAGCAUUCGAUAAGUUGACAAGACCAAUACAUUUCAGAACUCAUCAACGGUGAGUCUGAAGGCCAAAACGAAAUCAUUCAGAGUUUAGACGGUCACAACGUACAUCUAGCUAGGACCUUAAGACCUGUCCUACUACUUAAAACAAAACAAAACAAAAAGGCUAAGCAACAUUGUUCUUCAGGGUUCCCCUCCUUCGCGAUCUGACUCAAAAUCAGAGAUGUCAGCAUCUGGAUCCUGAAAGUCCAUCAAUCUCCUUUUUGAGCAGCUUCAUCCUUCAUGGAUUCAACUGCCAGAAUGACCGAUCGAACUUGAAAGCCUCCUGUUCUAGCCAUGUGAUUUAUUUAGCCUUGUCUCAAUCAGCGAUCGUCUGGCACAGCUGUUAAUUUUUGUGACUAGAGGCUUGAGCCAAUUGUAGCUAGUCAGAUAGAGAAGACGCGUAUACAAACAACCACGUACCCACCAUAUUAACUAAGUUGAUUUUGAUGUCAACCGCACCCCACACCCACCGGUCAGCUCUACACUUUCAAACAUUUAAUUAUUAAACAGUGCUUUAACUUGACUGAUGUAAUUGUUUGCAGUUUAGCCACCACAAGGUACGGCUGGACAACAUUAUAAACUGUUAAUAAACCACACAGUGAAAACAAUUGAAAAAAAAGCUGUCUUCUCGCAUCCCUACAAUUUAGGGUUCACCACCGCGAACAACAACGACCAUCAUUGCUGCCUUGCCAACUUCUUUCAACCAGAAAGCAUACUUAAAGAACUUAAAAAACAACUGUUUCUCGGAUGCUGACCUCCUCUGUUUUGAGUUAGUUCAAAAGGGUGCUAAAACACUAAAUUAAAAGUUACAAAACCUGACAGUAAAACAUAGCUGUGAACGUAGCAAGCCACUGCUUUUGAAGAUAUUUCCUCCGGAUUGGUGCAAUCCCUUCAAUGGUGGAAAGGUUAUCACAGCAGCUUCUUCCUUGCAUGGUAGAAGAAACUUGGCAAUAACUAAAGCACUAUAACUAGUUGUAAGUGAGUUUGAUAUCUCUGCAACUUGUAAUUUGAACUUCACUUUACAUCCUUAUAUAGCUGUAGUGUUCUGUCCCUCUACAUGACCUUUUCUAGUUUGUUGAGAAUCCCUGAAGAUCAGAACAACCAAGUAUCAUUCAUCAUUGCUCUCUCCAUGAUGCUGCAGAUCAGCUGAAAAUCUGCUGAUUAGUUAGUUGGCUGCAGAUCGUUGGAGAUGAGGGUUUGAAUGGGCCAUCAUCAUGUCUUGUGGACCAAGCAACUUAUUAGAUUUGGAUCGGUAGGCUCCUGGAUUAUGGGCUUCACAUUCACAUUCAUCAGAAUUUUAUCAAUGAAAAACAAUGAUAAAUAACAGCAUAGCCAUAAACGCAGCUAGAACAUUAGUUAACCCCAAUGACAUCAAUAAAAAUUUGUAGUAGCCAUACCUGGUCUUGAAGGCUGCCUUAGGGUCAUCCCUAUGGUCAACACUAUAGCCCAAGAAGGCCCACACAAGAAAAGAAGUAUCAUCAAGUCAGAUCAUGAAAGAUGUUCAGAUGCAGAGUGCAAGGAGCCGUAUGGAUAAGGCCGAUGGAGAGCAAUAAAGCCUACAACGUCAUUGAUGGGCCAACACAACAAAUGACCUUGAUCGCAAAGUUCAUUGCAAUUCAAAUAAAAUGCGGCCCAUACUAAUAUAGUCUCUAAUAACUAGACCAUAUAUUAUUAUAAUUUGAUUAUGCACCGCAUGUCAUUAUAAUUGUUGUUUACGUGUGUUUAUCGAUUUUUACAGGUUUUCUCAAAUUCAACGGGUUAUCAAUCUGAUGUUGCUGUCCUGUGGGUUAUAUAUGGGGUCCAACAACAUAUAAAAUAAAAUAAAUAACUAAUAGAAAAAAAUACCACCUCUCCCCGCCGGCCGGCCCUACUCCCUCCCCAUCGCUCUUCCAUAUCCGUCAAACUCCCCCCUUGCUAGCUGAUUCGUUUAUGGCUUCAAAUUUUUGCGACAGCUUCAUAUGCAAAGAUAAUAGCUUGCAGUGGAACAAACAACUUUGAACUUAGAAACGAAUUGGAUUCAUGAAAAUAGAAGAACAGAAAACACAUGUAAAUCCUGCAAUUUCCUAUUGAUCUUUUCCUUUCUGUACUUUAGACUAGGAACAAUUAGGGCGGUGGGGAUGGAUCAAGACACUAAAGAACCCAGGAAGUGUUCUACGAUAACAAUGGUUGGUGCAAAUGUCUUUAUUUUUUCUGCGUUUAUUGUUGAACUUGUUUUGUGCAUUAGCAAGAUAAAACCAAAACUCUGCUUUCUUCUCUCCCCCGUCUAGCUCCCAACCACUAUCGAAAUUGAAUCCCUUUUCAACAAUUACAUACUUUGGGUAACAUCAUUCUAGAAUCACCCUUUUGAUAUGAGAUUACAAGAACCUCCAAUUCAUCAGAGAUCGACCCCCUCUUCAUAGCUCUUGUAUCUAUAACGAAUGCAUCUGGAAAAAACAAAGAAGGUCGAAACCUUAGUCUCAAUCCCCGAAAACCCAUAAAAAAAAUUGACAUAAACACUCUCUUAUCAGUUUCUAUCCGAUCUUUCCACAACAUGCAAGAUUGCAGCUCAUCCUUAUCCCCAGUCGUACGGACCUUGAUUGCGGCGAGAUCCAGGUACUGUCGCAGAGAACCAGCUCCACAAAGCCACAUUCAAUUUCUGCAAGAACAUGUGGAAUAAUCGACUUUGAUAUCGGGAGUUCGGAGAGCAUGGGUAUGCUGAAGAGCAUCAGGAAUUGGAACAAACAGCGGUAAGAAGUAGGGCCGGCGGUAGUGGGGAAGGGAAGGGGGAGAGGAGGUUUCUUUUCUAUUAAUUAUUUAUUUUAUUUAUAUUUUGUUGAAUCCACAUGUAACCCAUAUUGCAGCCAUAAAAUUGGUAUCCUGUUGAAUCUAAGAAAGCCUACAAAAAUCAAUAAACGCAUUUAAAUAACCAUUAUAAUGGUAUGCAAUGAGAAUUUAAACUAUAAUAGCAUAUGGUGUAGCUACUAAAAAUUGUAGUGGUAUGAGCUGCAUUUUAUAUUUACAAUUACAUUCGAAAAUUGGAUUUUAAGUCAGAGCCCAAACGAAACAACUUUCCUCAACCAAGAAAAAGAGCAUAAUUAUUAUGUAACAUUCAAAGACAUUUGGUUGAGUCAAAACCGUUUAAGGAAAGUGCAACUUGGUCCGAUAGCAUCAUCAUCGACGCACCGACUCAAGUCUAAUCACAUUAUCUCUCAAUCAGUCAACGUUGUUCAAGUUAUAUGAAUGCCAGAGGCUUAAUAUGACUAAAAAGGCCAAAAUUCAAUUUGGUGAUAUCCAGAACAUCAUGGAGUCCAAAUGUGGAAAAUCGCACCUUAUCUGAGCCAACGAAAACUUCGGAACGAAGACGAAACGAGGCCUUUCAGACUUUUUAAACCCAAGCCAAGAGUAUAGCUGUUAAAGUUACUAAUGUGAAUCCAGUUUGGAAAGAAAUGGUUGUGGGAUGGGGAUGGGGAUGGUUUAGUAUAAUUAACGAUUAUCCAUUAAUUACAAAACUUUUGAUGUUAGAAUACUUAUUUUUUAUCGUUAGAAUUCUUUAAGGUCGUUAAAUUUUUUUGAUCGAAUAUUUAUAGCUUCAUAUUAAAUUUUAAUUAAUAAAAAACUGAAUAUAAAUUAUUUAAAAUCAAGGUCCCACUCUAAAAACCGGUUAUUUUCCUUGAUUUGUGUAAUUGUGUACCGUUGGUGAUUUGUUUUAGUCCACUCUUUCUUCUUUGAAUAUAUUUUUUCAUUUUUUAUUAAUCAAUUAAUUAUUUUCAGUUUUAUAUUUUCAUUUUUCUCGGUGGCGGAUUCCAACUAUAUACACGUUAAUUUUGUUCUUACACAUUUUGGUUGAUACAAAUUGUACUUCAUAUUUGUAUUGUAAUAUUUAUUUUAUUUUUCCAAUGAGAUGCAACCCAUUGUUGUUUAAACGAACAUUUGUUUUGGAAUACCCAAGCAACCACAUGCAACUCCUUCAUUUUGUACAUGUCUUCAAGCUGAGGCAUUAACUGUACCAAUUCGAAAUAAAAAUAUGACAAUAAAACAUUUUUAAAACCUUAACAGAUGUUUAAAUACUUGUAACACCCAAUUAGCAUAUCAGGUAGUAGAACAUAAAAAACAAAGAAAAAAACUAUUCAGAAAAUCGUCAUUAUUUCUAAGUACGUAUUAUAGUAUUUUCCCAAAAUUUAAGUUAUGUACCAUAUUCUCACACCAAUAGAAUCUAUGACAAACUGUCACCAAUUACAAAUUUGAAUACGUCCUAGAAAUACCUCAUCUCUCAUCUUAUGUAUGCGUUACCACGAUCAAGAGUCGUCCGCUGAGCACCCCACUUCUUCGCCUUCUUUAAAACCUCCUCAAAUUCGGUGUUGAUCUCCCAAGAUAUCGGCUGAAGACAUAUAGCAUUCCUUCGGUUCCUAUUGUAAGCUCUGUCACACAACACCGACGUCAUACAAUCUCCCACGUACCCUAGUCUUAAAACCUGCAACAUUUUUUAAACAAUUUAAUCGUUACUGGUCCACAAUUAAACUUUAAGCACACAUUGUUCUCUAUAGAAUCCUACUGAUGCAUUACUAAUAACAUGUACCAAUUUAAGAUUGCUAGAAAAUUAGGGUCCAUCUAUAAUAAUGGCCAUCACCAAAAUCUUUUAGUUAAAAAAAACAGAAUAAAUUGGAAGUUUGUAAUGUAAUGAAAUAAAAAAAGGGACAACUUGCAUUAGUAUGAUAAAUAGGUAUACAUAAAAAAACCAUGUCUACACUGAAGAACAAGAAUCAAAAAGAGUUUUCAAUGUUGACAAAAUUGUGUUAAGGCAGAUUUUUAGAAAAAACAAGUACAAUAAGUAGAAAUCGAUAAUUAGAAAUGUAAACUAACCUCUAUACCUGAAUAAGAAUGGUGUUUGCUAGUUCCAUUCCUUCGAUUAUUCACAUUGCGAGAAGGAUUUGCAACCUCCGAUCUAUUCGUCGUCUUCAGUUAUUUACCAGAACGACAUGUCAUCCGGGGAGGAGCAGACAGAGAGUGACAUAUUGAAUGACGACUGUUGUUGAGGAGGAAUGGGAGGUCGGCAACGAUACCCUGAAGUAAGGAAAAAUUAACAAUCUGCGGGAUAAUGACGACGAAUGUGAAAGAGGAUGGGUGGUCGCCGACAAUCAACUUUCUUCCAUGAAAUAAUUGGUCGUCGGAUUUCGAUGAGGAAUAAAGGUCGAUCGUCGAUCUCCGAUUUCCUAUCUGCGUCUAUUGGGUAAGAAAAAGCAAAAAACGAUGGAAAAUUUUCGUUCAGGAAAAUAAAAUAUAAUACAAAAUAGAAAAUAACCGUAAUUUAUAAAAAUAUAUAUUCUAUUUAUUUUCAAAUUCUUGAAUUUGAUUAGGUUAGGAACAAAUCAGCCCCACUAACAAUUUCUAGACUAAACCAUUAAAUUAGAGGAUUACUAUUUCACGCGCUAACUUUCGAAUUAUAUGACGCCCUAAACUUCGUGAAGACGAAACUAUCCAAAUUUACUAAUUCGAAAAACUUNNNNNNNNNNNNNNNNNNNNNNNNNNNNNNNNNNNNNNNNNNNNNNNNNNNNNNNNNNNNNNNNNNNNNNNNNNNNNNNNNNNNNNNNNNNNNNNNNNNNNNNNNNNNNNNNNNNNNNNNNNNNNNNNNNNNNNNNNNNNNNNNNNNNNNNNNNNNNNNNNNNNNNNNNNNNNNNNNNNNNNNNNNNNNNNNNNNNNNNNNNNNNNNNNNNNNNNNNNNNNNNNNNNNNNNNNNNNNNNNNNNNNNNNNNNNNNNNNNNNNNNNNNNNNNNNNNNNNNNNNNNNNNNNNNNNNNNNNNNNNNNNNNNNNNNNNNNNNNNNNNNNNNNNNNNNNNNNNNNNNNNNNNNNNNNNNNNNNNNNNNNNNNNNNNNNNNNNNNNNNNNNNNNNNNNNNNNNNNNNNNNNNNNNNNNNNNNNNNNNNNNNNNNNNNNNNNNNNNNNNNNNNNNNNNNNNNNNNNNNNNNNNNNNNNNNNNNNNNNNNNNNNNNNNNNNNNNNNNNNNNNNNNNNNNNNNNNNNNNNNNNNNNNNNNNNNNNNNNNNNNNNNNNNNNNNNNNNNNNNNNNNNNNNNNNNNNNNNNNNNNNNNNNNNNNNNNNNNNNNNNNNNNNNNNNNNNNNNNNNNNNNNNNNNNNNNNNNNNNNNNNNNNNNNNNNNNNNNNNNNNNNNNNNNNNNNNNNNNNNNNNNNNNNNNNNNNNNNNNNNNNNNNNNNNNNNNNNNNNNNNNNNNNNNNNNNNNNNNNNNNNNNNNNNNNNNNNNNNNNNNNNNNNNNNNNNNNNNNNNNNNNNNNNNNNNNNNNNNNNNNNNNNNNNNNNNNNNNNNNNNNNNNNNNNNNNNNNNNNNNNNNNNNNNNNNNNNNNNNNNNNNNNNNNNNNNNNNNNNNNNNNNNNNNNNNNNNNNNNNNNNNNNNNNNNNNNNNNNNNNNNNNNNNNNNNNNNNNNNNNNNNNNNNNNNNNNNNNNNNNNNNNNNNNNNNNNNNNNNNNNNNNNNNNNNNNNNNNNNNNNNNNNNNNNNNNNNNNNNNNNNNNNNNNNNNNNNNNNNNNNNNNNNNNNNNNNNNNNNNNNNNNNNNNNNNNNNNNNNNNNNNNNNNNNNNNNNNNNNNNNNNNNNNNNNNNNNNNNNNNNNNNNNNNNNNNNNNNNNNNNNNNNNNNNNNNNNNNNNNNNNNNNNNNNNNNNNNNNNNNNNNNNNNNNNNNNNNNNNNNNNNNNNNNNNNNNNNNNNNNNNNNNNNNNNNNNNNNNNNNNNNNNNNNNNNNNNNNNNNNNNNNNNNNNNGAGAAUUUAUCGGAAGGGAGUGGUCCCGGGCGGAAGCUUGUUUCGGUCGGGAGGGGUUCGGGCCGGAGGCUCGUUCCGGCCUAGUCCCGGCCGAAACGAGCUUCCGGCCGGAACUAAUCUCGGCCGAAACGAGCUUCCGGCCGGGACCACUCCCUUCCGAAAAAAAUUUCGGAAGGCACCGAGGCCUACCGAAACCUUUUUUUUUCGGGAGGCACCGAGGCCUCCCGUAACCUUUUUUCAGAGGACAUCGAGGCCUCCCAUAAUCUUUAUUUCGGGAGGCAUCGAGGCCUUCCGAUACAUUAUUUUCGGGAGGCAUCAAGGCCUUCCGAUACCGUUAUUGUCACUAUGUGUAGAAGAAAGCGUAGAAAUGCGAAAAUAAUACAUAGAUAAUACGAACUCAUAGAUACUGUGUGAACNNNNNNNNNNNNNNAAACAUAAGCACGAUAAUUGCUAAACAACACUCAGAUAUAUUGUUUGAAGAAAGAAAGUACAACAACUGUAGUCUCGACUCUCUCUCUAGCUCCGAUACCCCAUGUAGAGAUCCUAAAACUGCAUGCAUAUCCCCUCCAUAUGGUCGUAGUACUCUUGAGGCGAGUCUGCGUGUUGCCGCCCAAGCGUACCAUCGAAGUAGGAGGCCAUACCAUCGAAGACUCGCUGUGUAAUCUAUGAAAAAAGCAUAAAUUAAGAGUUAGCUAAACAACAUGUACAUAUUAUAAACCCGUCAAAUGUGAAGGUGAAAUCGAACUUACAAGCUCAGGUGGGACGCCUACACCGGGUUUAGCUGGUGCUAGGAUGCGAGGGUGACUGUGCUCGAGGUACCAGUCCAUGUACCCUGGAGCAACAUCCGCCGCAGACACUGCCCUCUCGAACAUAAGGUGUAGCCGGUGAAAUCUGAUGAAGUCCUGCUCCGACCAAGUCCUAUCCUCAGCCGGGGCUCACUAGACCGCAUAGUUCCGGAUGGCGGGGGGUCUAACAGCCCGCACCGGCACAGCAAUUGAGGGAGGGACAACCUGUGUGUACCCAAACUGUCGGAGUACACGAUAGGAAUCGUAGUACUCACCUACGUCGGCGCAGUGGAUGAGACCACGGAAAGUCGACACAUGGACCUCAAGGUCGGGAUGCGGCCCAAAAGGAAGCCAAAUAACAUCAUGGGAAUCCAUGCUAUCGAGGAGGCGUCGAUAGUAAUCCAACCUCUCUCGUAGGACUCCGCCACCCCGACUAGGUGUUUCUGCACUGUCCCAUCUACCAGCUAAUGCAUCUCCUGCCCUACGCUCCUGUUGAACCAUCCUGGGAGGCCUCACACUAGGGAAGUACUCGUAUAUCCAGGACUCAAGCAACGUCACAGAGCCUGACAUCGCCUUCGCAUCCGCACGGCUAGCCUUUCCUAACUCCCGAUACAACCAGGUCAGCGCACCAGCACCCCAAGCGUACUCCGGCACAUCACUAAUCGAACCCAUGAAGUACUCCCAACCAACGAGGCGUGAUCGAUCAGUCGAUCUAUCCUGAAAAAGGAUACCUCCAAGAAGACAGAAGAGGAAUACCUUAUACGCGAUCUCAUCCCCCGUAUGCUUCCCCAGGGAGAUCAUGUCUAUCUCGUGCAUGGUGCUGUGAUCAUACAACGAUGGGCCAACUCUCUCGCCCCUAACUGAGUACUCCAAUGCAGGAGCAGAGCUAAACCCAAGCGCCUCCGCUACACCCACUCUCAAAUCAACAAGAGCUCGGGCUUUAUGAAGCGGCCGUCUAGACACCGGGACCCGGAGAAUGUGGAAGACGUCGUACAAAGUGAUCGUCAUCUCUCCCCACUGCAUGUGAAAGGUGUUAGUAUCCGGCUGCCACUUCUCAACAAAUGCCUCCAGAAGAGGCUCAUCAUAGUGGUUCGACAUGCACCGACCCAAGUGAAGAAGUCCCGACUCCUGCAUGAUCGGCCAAAUGGUACUCGUCGGGAUGUCGCACUCACUCACAGUGUCCCACUGCUGAGGGCGCUUCAGGAACCUGAAGACCUUCAGAUCCCUGUAUCCCUCGCCUGACUCCCACAAGUAGUGUGCAAUGUGACCUCCGAAGCUCGGGAUCACUGUCGGCGUCCUCGGUCCACCCUCUGGAAGCCCUGCAGUAAGCUCCUAGGUACGACUCAGUCCCUGCUAGUCCACUCCACUGGCGGCAUCCUCCUUCCGGACCCGCGCAAGUCGGCUAGGUUUCCCUCCUCUCACGCUAACACUCGCGGAGGCAUGUGACGAGCUCGUAGAAGCGAGGUGCGGAGAGCUCGUGUGCAGAGAAGCCAUGUAUGGAGAAGUCAUGUGCGGAGAAGUCAUGUGCGAAGAAGUCUGUGUGUUAUCGUACUCAAACCCCGGCGGUGGACCCUCAUCCUCGUCAUAAUCUUCUGGAUACGACCUAACCGGGUACGUAACAAGAGGGUACCGGUCAGGGGAGCCGUAGAUUUUCAACUUCUUGUUCUUCUUCGCUGCCUCUCCCUCUUUCCGGCGCGAAGCGGUGACCACUUGCUCUUUCAUCCGAUCUAAAAUGCCCGCUUGUUUUCCUUUCCCUCUCAUAUUCUGGAUCCCAUCGGUUUCUUCCUCUACCGGAUCUUGACUGUGCGAUUUACUUCCGCCUUUCGUUUUCGCCAUAUUUGUCACUAAACUGCAUUUAAACAAAUGAAUGUUCCUAAUAAAAUUCGGAUUCUACUAAACUAAGUUCAUUUAUUAUUCCUAACUAAACCCUAAUACCCUAAGCCUAAACCCUAAUUUUCCUAAAUAUUCACUAACAAAACCCUAAUUAUUCUAAAUAUUCACUACCAAAACCCUAAUUAUUCUAAAUAUUCACUACCAAAACCCUAAUUAUUCUAAAUAUUCACUACCAAAACCCUAAUUAUUCUAAAUAUUCACUACCAAAACCCUAAUUAUUCUAAAUAUUCACUACCAAAACCCUAAUUAUUCUAAAUAUUCACUAACAAAACCCUAAUUAUUCUAAAUAUUCACUACCAUUCUCUAAUUAUACUAAUCGUACCCUAAAAAUUCUCUAAUUAUACUAAUCACAAUAAUUAAUUUCAUAAAUAAAAAAAAGGCCCGGCCGGCCGCUCGUUUCGGCCGAGAGGGGCCCCGGCCGGGGCCUUCCUAUACCCUUUUUUUCGAUUUCGUACCUGUAACGUUCGCUUCCGAUCUUCGAUUUCUUCUUCAGAUCAACGUUUGUGAGUGUUUGUGAGUGUUUGAUUGUGUAUGAUUGUGUUUGAACUAGUCAAUACACACAACUUAUAUGAAUUUCGAUUUUACAAAAAGAUAAUAUUGUAAUUUACUCAAAUUAGAGCGUUGUUUAAUUCGAAAGUUAAGGCGUCAAAUAGGGGUUCACUUAAAUUAUGCUCAUUAAAUCUAAUGACUAUUCUUACCAUUAGGAUACCAAAACUAUUAGAUCCGAAUUAAUAAUUCAUCGUCGUCUCCGGACUCUCAAAUUUUCAGAGCCAUUUCUCCUUUCGGAUCGGAGACUGAUUGCUUUAUGCCAAUCGCCGGGGAGAGAGCAAACUGAUUUCCAGAUUUUCCAUAGGUCAGGAAACUACAAUGGGAGAUCGGGACAAAGAGUGGGAUUUUUAUCUCCGGUCCUUAUCCAACAGCGCGAGAGACUCCAACUUGGCUAGCGACCCCGCCUCCGAUCCUUCUCUCCUCAAUUCCGUAUUCCUCUCUCUUUUGUUCACUCUCCUGUGAAGCGUACCUUUAAGUACUUGAGAGACGGAGAAAGAGAUAUCUGAUGGUCGUUUUUUUUGGUAGGUGAGGAAGCUCUACCAGUUGUGUAAAGAAGAGAAUUCAGAGGAUUUGGUGGCUAGGGUAUAUCCGCACUUUAACAAGAUCUUUCAGCGUUCCGUGGCUUCUCUUUCUCAAUCGAGCUCGUCUUAUGGACUUCUCUUGCUGGUCAGUUUCUCGUUGUAAUUUUGUUUGUCUUACAUGAUUGUUCUUCCGUAAAAUUUGUCCUUCUAGAGAUCCAGUUAUUCUUCUUGGUCUUUGUUAACAGUUAGCAGGUCACUGAGAUUAGUUUAGUUUGAACAAUGAGAUUGUACAGUUGAACUGGAAAGAAAAACAGAAGAAGCCAAACAAUUCUGCUCUUUUUUAGCACGACUAAUGCGUCUGACUUCACUACUCUGCAUCGAAAUGAUGUUCGCAGGAGAUUAUUUGGUUGUCUCCAUUUCGAUUUUGUAGUUCCUGUCUUCAUUUCUAAGAUUAAUAAGUUAAUCUUAACUGGGACAGGCUCACGGAACGGAUGGUCUGUUUUCCCCAAGAUGUUGAUACAUAUAUACAACUGAUGGUGUUGCAUUUUUCCGUCUUCUUCGAAUCAGGCUAUAAUCCAGUUUUUCCUCGACUUCGGAGAGAUUGUUCUGCAUGAUGCUGAUCCCAGUUUAAGAACAUUUUUCCGUUCAUGUUUGAGUCGGUAAGGAUAAACUCUCAACGUUGCUUCUUUCGUUUACUCCAACUUACUAUUUUUUUUAUCUCAACCAACAUAAUAUUGGAUAAAUGAAUGUAGUAAGAUUUGUGGUGUUAACAGAGGACAUAAAUGAAUGAUAAUUCAUUUGAAAACGUAAUGUGUAGAAUUCCAGCCUUGGUUUAAUUAUCUUUUCGUCCUCGUGGUGAUCGCCUUAAUUGGGUCCAUGAAACAAGUCUUUCCCUUUAUCUAAGUAACCAUGGUGAAUAGUCUUCUGAAUUGAUUAGUUACCGGCAUAAUGACUUGUGACCAGACUGGUUAUGAAUUAUGAUAAAUGUGGUUUCCAGCACACCUAUCUUGUGCUAAUGUUUUAAUUGCAGUGAAUUUGCAGAUGUAACCGUUGCAGAAGCAACACUUGAAUUUCUGAAUGUCAACAAGAGAAAGCUCCUGGCCUCUUAUCCUGCGUUACUACCUCAAGUAUGAAUUGUAUACUACAAAGCUAUUGAAAAAAUUCAUGCUGGGUUUAUAUUUAGUAUGAUAAUACAUUAAUACUAGAAGAGCAAAAAGCAAGCGAACGUCAAGUUCCCUUUUGUUGAAAAUGGAUACUCAAUACUCUCUUCUCAACUUUUUGUCUGUGGACUUUGGUACUAACUAUGUUGUGCUGUAUGUGCUUUAAGACACGCCAAAUUUUCUGGUUCCAUGGAUCUCACUACUUUGUGAUCCUUUUUCACAUCCAAAACUAGAAUCUUCGAGGAAGGGUAAACCUGCUUGUGACAGUAUUUUCUAAGUGUGGCCAUGGUCCAUAGUGCUUGAUAAGAGUGUUGAAAUAGUCAUUUGAGUUAUUUCAUAAUAGAUUUUCCCUUGGAAAUUUUGAUUCUAAGUAUCUGCUAAAAACUGAUUUCUAGUACUGGAGUAUGCUGAGAAACAGAAUAUGGUUAAAUCAUGUCCUUCUCUUGAUUUCUAGUUACUGGAGUAGGCUGAGAAACUGAUUUCUAGUGCUGGAGUAUGCUGAGAAACUGAUUUCUAGUCACUUGAGUUAUUUCAACAAUAGCUCUCGCUUUAAAUCAUGUCCUUCUCUUAGUAGCUUAAAUAUGGUUGGAAUCUGGAAACAGAAUAAGAGAUGUAGUUUCAGCCAUGAAAAGAUCACAAUUCACAAGUACUCCUAGCUAUUAAUAAGCAUUCAUUAUGAUUCGCCAAGGAGUUGGAGUUGUCUUUACAGAGAGUUAUGAGCAUAGCUGUGAUGGUGACCAAUGGAUUGCUAGUCCAUGAUGUGUUACUUUCCUUACUAUUAAGUUUACAUUCUUUGAAGAAGCUCCCUUCUUUGAACAACAAAAAGAUCCAUUCUACUGUCUUUUGAAGAAUUAGUUCAUACAAAGUGAUUAGAUUUUUGAGAUUAAAGAUAGCUGUUUCAGUGAUUUUCAAAGCUAACAUGUCAACUAAAGAAACUGUUUAUACUGUUUACCCAGUUAAGGAGGGUUGACGAGGGUCUUUAAGCGCAAAUCCUUUCAUUUUGAAAUAAUAGGAAAUCUUUAAAAAGAUUGUUUAUAGCUGAACGUGAUGCUCUAUGUUUGGUUACAGUUUUUUCCACUGUUGCUGAAGUUGAUAGCCUGGAAUGGAGAAAAGUAAGUCUUUCUUCUUGCGCUCUAUCACAUCUGUUUUUCUUUUGUUCUUUAGCUGCAAGCCUUCAAUUAACCUGCUGUCAUCAAUUAUACAUCAGCGCCAAUAUGUAGAUAAUGAUUCAUUGUUAUUCAUAGUCAUCGUAAAUUAUUUUCUCGACUUCAUAGUGGUUUCAUGAGAUUCGUUAGUAUGUGUUCAUCCUCAUCACCACGGGAUUCAUAGUUCAUGCUCUAGGUUUCCUGGUCCUCAAAGGUUUCUGGUGGUGGCCUGUAGUGUAAACAAGCUCCUGCUGUACUGAACUCCGUACAUAUCCGAUGACCAAGGAACUGAAUUAUUUCAGGCUGGCUAACUGCUUCUUGAUCCUGUGUCCAGGUUGCAGAAAUCAUUCUUGAAGAUUUUUCCAGAGUUAAUAUCGCCAGCUUCAUUUCUUCCUCUAUUUCCGUCCUUGGUGGAUCUUCCUGGUAAGUAGCUGCAGCUGUUUGUGUAAUAUAACAAUUUUUUCUAGUAACAAGUGAUUUAAUUUCUGCUAAGUGCUUUUUGGCAGUACGGUCAGAACCUCUCUGAACAUGUUUUCUUGAGUAGAUAAGUAGAUUUAUGUCCUUCCAAAUUUCUAUUGAUCUUUUACAUCUAAAAUAUUCAUUUUAAUGGGUGCACGAACCAUUUUGGAUGAGGUUUUAUUCUAUAUAUUCUGACUAAAUAAAGCUGUAUCGAGUUUCUGAUUGUUAAGUAUAAAAUAAUAUUCUAAUCAGUUGAAGAAAUAUAUUCCAAAUUCUACAUCUCAGAACUCUUCUAUCUUUGAGAAGAAAUAGUUCUCUUUUCCGAAGGUAUCACAAUUCACAAAAUGACAGGACAAAUAGGAGCCGAAAAAAUUGUGCUUUGAGCAUUGAUUUUUCCUUGUUCAUACAAAAAUUUAAAUAAAAAUCGAAGUUUGUGCAUCUCUAUCUCCUCUUCGUCUUGACAUAUAAUUAAAUCAUCAUUCUGUUUCUUGUAUGUGCCAGUUUUAGUAGUGGCAUUGGAAAGGGUGGAGAGAAGUUCAGGUUCCCUUAUUGGGAGUAGUAUUGCCUCAAUCCAGAAGAGUAGUGCUCCUGAGGUUAGUUUUAAGACACUUGUAUAUUCUUUUUAAGACACUUAUAUAUUCUUGCUUUACCUGACUUUUUGUAUUUCUAUCUGCCUAAAGUUGUCUUUUUGCAGAUGUUACUUGCACUAAUGGAUGAAGCUUAUACUGGUUCAACCAUAGGUGAUGGCGGUGGAGACAGUGGAUCAGAGGAAGGCAAUGCGAUUGAUGCAGGCGAUCCUUUGUUUCUAGAACUUUUGAAGGAUGAGAAUGAUGGAUUAGCUGUACAGUCCCUUUUAUUCUCAGAUCUUGCAAGUCACUUUAUUCAGUUAAAAAAUAGUUAGAAAGCAACUCCAGGGAAUUCACAAAGCAACUGCAGGGAAUUCAUUAGGUUUUUUUUACCCUUUCGACUACAGGGGAUUCAUUGAAGCUAUAAGUUUCUUUUCAAGUUGCUUAACAACCUUUAUUGAAUUCAAUAUUGCAGGAGCGUCAUAGGACAUCCCCCAGUAUGGCUGCAGCUUUGCAAGCUGCGGUCAAUGCUCCUCAAUCUGAUAGGCUAAAGCAAUCGCUCAAAAUAGCACCUCGGCUUCUUGAUCUGUACUGUGCUAUAGCAAUCCGCGAUGUCAAUGACUGUAUGCCUAACAUCAGUUUGACUUUGUUUUACUUUGAAUUGCUUUGAUUUUUUUAUAGUAAAAACAGUUUUCUAUGCUGCAUGUGAUGAUAUUGCAUGUCUGGCUUCUCAAGCUCUGUGAUUUUUUAUCUUCAUUGCAGCUUUAAAUUGUGCCCUAAUUCCAUUGCUUAUGGCAAGAAAUGAUGCACUAUUCCCUGACAAAUAUUACUGCUAUCAGGUAGAGUUGUACUUUAGAACACUUCUCUUUUUCUUCGCUUCCUUUUCGUUAACCCAGUCUUCACAUGAUUGGAUAUGCUUUUCCAACCUUAUGAAUGACUUCACACUAUUGCACAUCAUCCUUUCUGAUUUUCUAAAAUGUUUUAAUAUUCUGAGAUGUAAUUACCAUGCAAGCUUUACUUUCCGCUGGUCAUGACACGUGGUAACUUGUUUAAAAUGCAUGCGCAAUGAUGGAGAAGAACUUCUAAUUUCCUAUGAUUCAAUUUCUCAUAGGUCCGUAAAAGGCUUUUGGAGUAUAUGCUGGCUUCGUUUCAGCGAUCUCCAGAUUUUAUUGCUCUUUUGAAGGUUAGCUCUUCUGCUUCUUGAACAUCCUUUGGCUUAAAAUGUUAAAAAGUGUGAAUGGGAAUGAACAAGACUUAGACUGAAGGUAGCUGUUUGAUUUCGCUGUGACUUUGGACAGAAAGUGGUAUUUUUGGAAUGGGAAUUGCGAGUGAAAGGCAAUGUUAUAAGUAGUUUACUGUAUGGAACUUAUUUUGGUUUGGUAUACCUGAAGAGGCUUUAUGUUACUAUUCCCUCGGAUAUAUUUAUCAUACUGGAACUUACUGCAGAAACCAAUUAUGAACCGACUUGGAGAAGCUUAUGACAGCCCGGCAAAGGUGAGGAUGUUAUGAUUCUCAUGUAAUCUGCGUUUGCGACCUUUUCUCCUUGUGAGUCCAAUCCAUGUAGCAAGUUCAGAUGUUUUGUUUUCUUUUUCGCUAUAGACAGAACUAGCAUUACAGUUGUGUUGGGCGAUAGGGGAACAUGGUGGUGGUGGCGCGUCCCACAAAGAUGCUGCUCGCGAACUUUUUGAGAAUUUAGAGCUACUUCUCUAUGAAAACCUGUCGUCUAGGUAGUAUUUUCAUCGUUUGUGCUUGCUUCUUUUCAAAAGAUUAUGUAUAUGUUCCUUAUUUUUCCCUUACUGACUUGAUCGAUCUGUCUUGCACUUGGAAGCCGGCUUGGCUUGAAUUCAGCAAUUGGCGAGAACGUGAGGAAGUCAUCACAGUCGAGGCUUCUGUGUUUUGUUAUAACAGCUAUAGCGAAGCUGGCCACAUAUCACCGCGAAUUGUUACCAAGAGCCCGUGUGUCCUUAGGCAAGGCAUGUUUAGCUGCUGGACUGACAUGGGAUUGAUUUUUCAGUCUGGUAUGUAUCUGUUAAUGGAAAUAAUAUGAUAAUUAAGCUGGGCCAACUUUAAUUUGCAGGUAGCUAGAUCUCGCAUAUCAGAUAUAAGAGUUUGGAGGCGUGCCCGAGAUUACUUAGGUUUGAUCGAUGAUCCAGCAAUUUCGUUGUCUGUUUUGGGACCUUGUCGGCCUUCACAAGGACACGUUCAAAAGCCAGGAACUGUGAACUGGAGUGAUGGAGGAACCAAAAUGAUUGCACAUAUCCCCUUCUACCUUGUCGGUGAACAACAAGGUAAAAGAUGCAUUUGGUGUUCUGGAGCUUGAUUUUGAUCGUUUAAGGUUGGUUAUGGUAAAAGAUGCUUUAUCCUUCUUUGCAGGCUCCCCAGUCCACGACUUCUCUUUCUCUGAUAUUUUCCCGAUCAACAAGAUGAGGAAUCUAGGUUGAAGGAACCUAGGUUGAAGGAAUCUAGGUCUUGCAACAAAACAAUGUCUGUAAUUUCGACCCGGUUAUGCCUACAAGUAAGUGCAUAAAAUUCAUCCUCUUUCAUGCGGGUAGAGUUGGCAUUUUAGAAAACCCAUUAGGAUAUCCGGCCCGAUCCGCCCGAAAUUUGGGCUUUUCUACCUGGUUAACUUGGCUCGUCAACGGGCGAAUGGGCACCCGAAAUCCGCUAUUGACGGAUCGUGGGUGGGGUCGGAUCCAUUACAAUCCGCCCCGAUCCCCACCCGUUGAAUAAUCUGUACCAAAACGACGUAGUAUUCGCCUUCAUAUAUAUAACACCUACACUCUCAAACUUUGGGUUCUAAUCACAAACCCUAGCCGCCUAAACUCUAAGCUCUCUGUGUAUAGUUUUCCUUCAUCCAAUUGCAAGACCCACUCCCUCCAGCUCAGAAUCCACAGCGGCAACCACAAUUACGAAGGCCUUUCCUACGUCUCCUCAUCCCCUUUCGUCUUCCUCAAUCUCUAUAGCUACAGCUCCGUCGCCGUCGACGUCGAUUCCGAGACCGUUUGGGUCAAUUCCGACGCCACUCUUGACAAGCUUUAUCACCCCAGCCCCUCAGAGUGUGGGUUCUAAUCAUUCAGCCGAUUCCUUCAUUACGGAUAAGCAAAAUCCACAUGCAAUGGUUUAUUUUUGUCAAUUGUUGUUGAAGUUAAGCUCAAGAGUUUGGCUAGGAUUCUGUUUGAUUGUUGGUGCAAUUCCUAUGGUUGGCGUUUGUUGUUUUGAUUUAUGUGUUUCUGAUAACUGACUGCGAUAUUGUGGAAUCGAUGGUUGGACUACUAUUCGGGUUUGGUUUAUCCGGCUGGUGACGGGGUUGGUUUGGGUUUUGGAUCCGUUUGGCCGUCGGGGAUGGGGACGGAAAACCCGGCGAUUGUGGUGGACGGGGAUCGGAUACACCAAACCCGUCCCUGAUCCGCCCCGAUCCCGUCCCUGAUCCGCCCCGAUGCACCCCUACAUGCGGGCAACCAGUUUAAUUGCUGGCAUUCUCAGUAAUGAAAACAUAGGAAGGAAUUUAGUAAGCAAGCCAGUAUAAUAUUAUUUGAAAUCUUUGCUAAGCUAGCUUGUUUUGUUAACCCGUUUGAAUCAAUUAAUGAAUGUGAAUCAGUUCCACGAUUUUAACCGCAGGGGCAGUUUUGGUAUUUCCGAAAUAUCUUUUCCUUCUUUCAUUCUUUAUUUAUUUUCAGGUUUCUGACUGUAGGGGUAUUUCCGUAAUUUUAUAUUAUUUUUAUAAAAUAUAUAUUUUUCACAAAUGAUUUUUCUAUAAAGAAAAAAGCAAUUUAAAUUCUUUUUCCCUUUAAAUAGUUUUUAACAAGUAACUAUACUNNNNNNNNNNNNNNNNNNNNNNNNNNNNNNNNNNNNNNNNNNNNNNNNNNNNNNNNNNNNNNNNNNNNNNNNNNNNNNNNNNNNNNNNNNNNNNNNNNNNNNNNNNNNNNNNNNNNNNNNNNNNNNNNNNNNNNNNUAGUGAUUUUUUUAUAAAAAAUUAUAAUACUUUAGUGAAAAGAUUUUAUCACUCUUUUUUAUCGACGGUUAGAUCACUAAAAUAUAAAAAUCUGAAAUUUAAUGGUUCUGAGUUGUCUUAAACAUCCUGAAACGCCUUUUUAUAUGGAUUUCAAACCUGCUCCUUUAACUGGCAGAAGACAGCAUAGACAACUUUUUCAUGCCUGCAUGCAAGAUAGAAUUCUGCAUGCGUUGCGACGAACUAUACUCUAUAUAUAUACUCGCGGGCUUAGCGUUUCAAUGAUAUAUAUAUCUUUCAACUGCAUUUUUGAAAAAUAUAACUAAUAUAAUUUCGUUUUCUGUUCCUAAAGAAAGAAAAAGAAUAAAAACCACCAGGAUUUCACAAUCAAACAAACAUAUGGACACAAGUAACUAACUACGCAUCUUAUAAAAAAAAGUUCACACAAACACUGUUAGGUAUGACCAAACAAUUUGGUGAUCGAUUUGGAAAUUUUUUGUUUAUAAAGCUUGUUAAUUUUCCCACUCCAGGGUUUAGGAAUGAGGUGAUUUUCAAAGCGAUCAAAUCCAAAUCGACCCGAUUGAUACUCUAGCUAGCUGCUGUAAUUUUGAAGUACAGCGACGGAAGACGAUGGUUACCGGUGGUGGAGCACGAUGGAUUGCGUUUUAAAUAGGCUUGGGGAUUAAACGUAAGCCAGGGAAAGGAAUGGUAAAAAUAAAAAUGACCUUUGUAAUUUGUUUUAUUAAGAGUAUAUUAGUUGUUCAGUUAAAAUACAAAUUGCGUAAUUAAAAUAAGAAUGGCAAAUAGUAAUAUCCAACUUCGUAGGUUGGACAAAAUUUAUGUGUUACUUUGUACUAGUAAUGUGUUUUAUUUGGGAUCAUACAACCAAUAUAAUUACAACUUCUGGACGAAGGUUCCAAGGUGUCUCAGACCCCCUUUUCAAUCUGAAUCCCUAUUUGACGCCCUACUAUUCGAAUUAAACGACGCCCUAAAUAAAGUAAAUUACGUUAUUAUCCAUUCGUAAAAUCAAAAUUUAUGUAAGAAGUUGUGUAUAUCGACGAACUAAAUACCGUCAAACACUAUCAAACACCCACAAAUGAAGAUCGGAAGUAAAAAUCGAAGAUCCGUCGAACCUCCAUUUAGAUAAAAUAUCGAGAAAAAAAAAA
This 46370-nucleotide long non-coding RNA is filed under the name Linum usitatissimum (flax). RNAcentral describes it as "long non-coding RNA (LUSI_LNC002798)". Lineage: Eukaryota; Viridiplantae; Streptophyta; Magnoliopsida; Malpighiales; Linaceae. The record is from RNAcentral.